RNAcentral lists this long non-coding RNA (53380 nucleotides) under Triticum aestivum (bread wheat). RNAcentral describes it as "long non-coding RNA (TAES_LNC006008)". The record is from RNAcentral. Lineage: Eukaryota; Viridiplantae; Streptophyta; Magnoliopsida; Poales; Poaceae.
CAAUGUAUUGUUGCUACUCAAGCUCCGGAUCAACGUGCCGGAGACCGAACAAUGUUGCCCACUGCUUAGUGGGUUGGCUGAUCUAGAUGCCGCUGUCUGUGUUUGCACUGCCAUCAAGGCCAACCUCCUUGGCCUCAUCGACAUCGACAUUCCCGUCGACCUGACCCUCCUACUCAACCAUUGUAACAAGACAUAUCCCUCUAGUUUCACCUGCUCGCCAUGAGCCAUGAUCAACUAUACCUCUCCAAAACAUUCUCAUAAUUGUCAUGCAUGUGAGGCAUACUCAUCUAUGCCAACUCAUUAAUAAAUUUAUGUUAGAUUAUAUAUUUAGAUUUCAAGUUAUGUUUGUGUGUGUGACAUAAGUGUAUCAUGCAUGUUAUGUAAUCAAAUUUAUUGAGAUGGAGCUUGUCUCAUUGAAGAUAUUUCCUACAACAUAUGAGAUCAUUAUAAAUAAUUCAAAACGACAUCGCAGCUGAUCGUUUGAACCAUCUAUCUAUAUACGACAUAUUUAUGAAUUUUUACAACCGGUUCUAUAGUCUAUGGAAACAUCUAUGACAUUUGGAUCUUACUAUGAACCAUAUGUUGACAGUUACUUAUCAUUGCUGGUUUAAGAGAUUUCUUUGUUCUCGACUAGAUGUGUUGAUUAUGUUCAUGUGGGGUGCAAACUCUAUAAACUAGUGACAUCUUGCGCGUUGCUGCGAGAUUUUGUUGUCGCGAAGAUGAUAACAAUUGAAAUCAGUUAUAUGCCAAAUUUUAUUUACAUACAGUGACUGCUGUAUUUGUUUUAUAACAUGCAUCACCGGCAGAUGAUUUAAACAAUUUAAAAGAAAAAUAAAUUGGAAAGCCCAAGAGCUGGAAUAGUUCCUGGCUUCCUGCAUGAAUCAUCCUUCAUGGUCUGUUUUUGAACAUAGUUAAAAUGGCCAUAUAAAAUGAAUAAUAUGUCAAGAUCCAAAUUACUCAAUAUAGUAACACUUUGUAAAAGGAAUAAUUCAGAAUAGUGACCCAUUUCAUUGUUGUAGUUUUUUUUAACACUGUAUAGACGCAAGCGCUCAUAUACACGCGCAUACACUCAUCCCUAUGAACGCACACACGUACACCCUAUCCCUAUAAGCACCUCCGAAAGAUUGAGCCGGAAUAUCAUCUUGAAAUUUAUGGUGACUUCGUAAAUUUCAUUGUUGUAGUUUAUUAGUUGUGCAAACUACAAAAAGAUCUCGAGAAUCUUAGUGGUCUUAAUCACAUCAUAUACGUUAUGGUUUUUUAUUUCCUUUUGAUUAGUACAAAAUGCACCACUGUUAUCACUGGACAACCGUACAACGACAUCCCUUGUGAAUCCACAUAUCGAUCCUGCCUUCUUCUUAUAGUCGAAUCAACCAAACUGCAAAAUCAAAAUGGCCUAACGAAUCAAAUGUUACAUAGCUGGGGAGAAGGCAGCUUGCCCCAGUAAUCGGCAACAUAGUGGAAAUAAUAGAUUGAAAAUAUGAGCUCACUUGUGUGUCCUAGCUUGGCGGAAGGCGUUGGGGUAGAGGCGCCUGUGGAUGGUGAUGAUAAGAAGAGGCGGACUACUCCACAUGUGCCGGCCUCUACGACGACGUAUAACACGGACUCCGUGACACCCAUCAACAUGGCAGCGAGCGAUGCGUUGGAUUCGGGAGCCUUGGCGUCGUGCAGGAUGGGAUGAGGCAUGAUAGUAAUUAUUAUAGGAAGAUUUUUACUUGAGUUAAUUAUUGAGAGGAGAGAAAUGGUUUACACGUGGGACCUAUUUGCUGAUGUGGACGGUGUACAUGUUGAAAAAAAUGAUAGUAAUAGGCAUCAACUUCUUAAGAAUGUAAGAUGUCAUGCCAUUUAUUUAUUUAUUUUGCGAGAAAACCUUCAAUCUAUUUAUCAAUUGUCAAGGUAGUAUAAAAAACAUCAAAAGUAAAAAUUACAUCCAGGUCCGUAGACCAUCUAGCGAUGACUACAAGCACUGGAGCGAGCCGAAGGCGCACCAUCGUCAUCGCCCCUCCCUCAUCGGAGCCGGACAAACAUUGUUGUAGUAGUCAGUCGGGAAGUCGUCAUGCUAAGGCCCUAUAGGACCAGCACAGCAGAACAGCAACCGCCGUCGAUGAAGAGGAUCCUAGAUCGGAAAGAUCCAAGCUGCAGACACAUAGACGAACGAAGACCGAAUCCAAGAGGAUCCAUCGAAGAAAAAUGCAGACCGGAUGCCACGAGAUCCGCUGGAGACACACCUCCACACGCCCUCCGCCCCGUCUUCCUGAGCAUGGCACAAACCAUAACAAAACUCCAAGAAACACCUAAAAACGAAGCCCUCCUUCGACAAGGGCCGGGAUCCAUCGUGCCCCCAUUAUCUAAGGACCAUAGGAGAGGAGACGCACCGGCGCGCCGCCGGCGAGAGACGGGGAAACUCUAACUGAGGAGCCAAGAGCGAAGGCCUAGUUCGUAACUUUAUCAUGCCAUUUAUUUUGCUAGCGUUAUGCACACACUUGCUUAGCCAUUUGCUGCUCACAGGAUGAGUGGCCAUGUUCUUACCAAACAGUGUGGAAUUUUCCUAUUAGAACUUGUCUGCCUUGCCUUAGAUGAUGGAGGGGAUUGAAUGCCUCUUCACCACUGUUCGUUUACAAAUAUCAACAUGCACAAGAUUUUGUCAUCUUUUAUGAGUAUAGGGCAUGUUAGCACGUGAACUUGAGAAACCUUGUUCAUUUUUUACCAUUUUUGUCCCAUGCAAAAAAGAGGCAAGUACAAUAUAAUUCAUAAGUUUCUUUUCUAUACAUUGCCAUAUUUUUAAUUAAUUUCAGAAAGUUCACGUGUUAUAAUCCUACAUCCACGGUUUAAUCAACAUAUUUUUGGAUUCCCUUAACCCCUACGCGCUACCUACUCAAAAUUUAUCUUAACUAGCACAAAUGCCCGUGCGUUGCAACGGGAGAGAUUUUUUUUAGCAUGCACUCAAUUUUUCUAAGAAAUAUAUAUGCAAGCACAACCCCCAUGUUUCGCUAUGAAGAAAGUGCUAGUUACCCUGUCCACCUAAACACCGAACUCAAAACAUCCGACUGCAUGGCACGGCAACAUCAGAACGUUGCCACCCAGGGAGGCGUUGCAACGGGAUAUUAAUAUCCUUGAACCCACGCAUCUAAACAGAUAAAUAUCAAGCCAAAUAACUGUUACAAUGAACCGCUAAAUUCUGGCAUGCAAAGGGAAGACAAUGACAAUCUCCAUUUAUCAAAGAACAAAAAAUUGUAUGAAACUAAAACAAUAAAUUUGGUCUCAUACUAUGAAUAAUUCAUAAUACAACAACAACAACUUAUCAGGUCAAGGGUACAAAUUAUUUCUUGUGAAGUGCAGAACCCAUGGGUGAUUGACCUUACAAAUAUGAUAAUUCUGGUAACAAAAUUGCUUGUCUUUUCCAUAUGCGCCAAAAUGAUCCUUGAUAGAACACAUGGAUAUAGUUAAAAAAUGAACCGAGGAUCAGAAGCUUGUGGAUUGACCCGUUUCAAAUUUAGUAUGAACAUGAGUAAAAUAAUUAUAAUAAUUUAUGACUGGACUGGAAAUGUGAUCUCCUCUGUGGAUCACACCUGCAAAAUAAUGAUAUAAUGUACUUGAAUCUAGGAAAAAACUUAUAUGUAAAAUUUUAGAUAAGACUAAUACCAAGCUGUGCAUGUCUAGUUGUCCUGCUGAGCUCCAUCUCAGCUGCAAUCUCUGGACCAACUCACUUCUUAGCGAUCAACAAUGAGCGCAGGCAAGUCACUAUGACAACACAUGAAUGUCUCACAACAGAUGCAUCCAAUAAUUCAAACCGGCAGUUGAGCAUCACUAUGUACAUUGCCGAUGAAGACCCUAAUACAGUGUUGCUGAUUCAGAAAAUAAAUAUGCAAAGCCGAUGCUACUAUUUUUAGGUAUAUACGCAGUACCAAAUAGAGGUAGAUUCAUCAGUGAAUAUGUGAGUCCUUGAUUGCACUGUCAUCAAAAAAGCUGCUCAUUGCCCAUGUUUGUCUCCCAAUUAGCUACAAACAGACAAUAAGGUCAACUAACAAUGCACAUUUUCAUUGAGUUAAAAGCAUAGCCUGCAAAAUGAAUCAGAUGGCAAGAUUUCACUAUUCUUUAGUGCAUUGAAGAUCAAUGGAAAACGCAAAUCAGCAAAGGCCUGCAAUCAUGGUAUUUCAUUCAAGUCUGUAGCAUUGUGAUCAGGUCUGCAGUUAUGGUAUUCCAUUCAGGUUUGUAGCAUUGAGAUCAUUGUCGUGUCUUGGUAACCAUCAUGAUGUACAACCCCGGAGAUGUCAGCCGACAAUACCAGCAUCCAUUGGAAAUCUGCAACUAUGUAUCAGCACCUUGUGCAUGUGCAUGCCUGUAAGACAACUAACUCAUGGGCUUCUUACCUGCUGUUCCUGAUCGUUCUUCCUUGGACUUCAGUUUGGAAUAUUGACGGCCUAACAAAUCAAAAGCAUUUCAAUCCAUCUCAUCAAUCAGCUUAUGUGCUAGCUCAGAGCGCCCAACCUUUUCAGGUCACUGAUCAGUGGACGAUGGAUAUAUAAAUCAAAGGCUGGUGUAACUUACACGCACUUGGACUCGGGCAUCGCCUUCAGGUCAUGGUGGACACCGUCUGGUCCAGUCCGAUCCCUGACCAAGCUGUUGUUUGGAUCGGCAGGUGGGCUAUGUGAGCGAGUGAUGUGAGGAAGCGGACGACGUGCGCGAGUGCCAACGUGCCCGACAAAUUAACUGACAACUGAAACUUUGAUGAAACUGAUGAACUGAAUUUUCUGAAUCUGAUGAAACUAAAUCUGACGAAACUGAUGAAACUGAAACUGUCGAAUCUGAGGGAACUUCAGGACAGCAUAGGUGGCGCCAUAGUGGCCUCGUGCGAAGGCUGCUGCAGCCUCAGAGGGAGCUGCACGGGGAGGGGCAGCCGAGUUGGUCGUCAUCCCUUGUCGUGGAUCAUUAGAGCUGCGGGUCACAGGUGGCGGAAGAGCAUAUCCGGGGCUGGGAGGAGUAGCCGCGGGUCGCCGCAUAUAGGGCGCGUCAAUCCUGUACGGGCAGCCAGCAUACCCAAUCAGGAUUAAGUCACGAACCCGCAAUCCUGAUGAAGUCAGACCUCUCGAUAAUAGGCUGCCCGGUGUGAUGCAAAUGCUAGCAGUAUGUGUACUUCUUAAAUUAAGUGAAGCAAGUUCAUACAAUAAUUAGAAGGUUCAGUACACUUUUCUGUUUCAAAUUGUUUUUCUUGUGAUGCGGCAAAGAAAUUCUCCUACAGUUGCAAAAAUCAUUAUUCAUAGUUUAAUAGUAAUAAUGUUCAGGCAGGUACAAAUUUAGGAAAAAUACCACAUGAAUCUGAAUUAAACCAUACAUGAUUCACAAUCGCAUCUAAGUACAAAACCAACAGUGGUCCUCCAUCUAAGCAUCCCACGAGUACACCUGAUCUCAAGAUUACUAACUAAAACCAAGUCUCGCAACAGUAAGAGAAGAAGACCAUGUCCACCAGUAUCAAGUGCUGAAGAAUCGUAUUAGGUGUUUUACAAUUACAGAUAGUCGAAGAGCACCACUGUUCGUUUACAAAUAUCAACAUGCACAAGAUUUUGUCAUCUUUUAUGAGUAUAGGGCAUGUUAGCACGUGAACUUGAGAAACCUUGUUCACUUUUUUACCAUUUUUGUCCCAUGCAAAAAGAGGUAAGUACAAUAUAAUUCAUAAGUUUCUUUUCUAUACAUUGCCAUAUUUUUAAUUAAUUUCAGAAAGUUCAUGUGUUAUAAUCCUACAUCCAUGGUUUAAUCAACAUAUUUUUGGAUUCCCUUAACCCAUACGCGCUACCUACUCAAAAUUUAUCUUAACUAGCAGCUAUGGGUUUGUCAAGCAUGCAUAUAUUUCUUAUCUACAUCCUAGAAUAUCUUUUGUACAACUGAAGUGUAUAACAUAUUUGGCUUUAUUUUUUCUGAAAAUGUGGAUAAUCCCUAUCCUCUGCAUCGAACGAUGUAUACAUCCAUCUUUAUUAAAUUAUGCAACAGGGCAAAAUAAAUACAAGGAUGAAUCCAAAGCCACCUAUCUGGCGAUUUAUGUCGCUACACAUGCAUGCUUGACGAUGUGCCUUGACCGCACCAACGCACACCAUCUAAUUUGGUGGCCUCACGAAGUCACCGCGGCUGUGAGCGAAGAGCACCAAUCGGUCAGCAGACCCACAGCGCGCACCGCAGGCACACGCUCUAGGAUCCUGCGCCGCCAUCUUCGACCGUCCCAUCUUCUGGAGGGAUCCUUGCAUUGACCUCGCCAGGACCAACUAUUGUCGACGCCACCACGAUGUCAGACAACGCCUUCAGUCUGCACGCGUCCAUCAAGCCGCGUCCAAUGCCAAGACUCCACUGCACCACACCACCGAGACCCGCCGUCUUCGAGGAGGUAGAUGCAAUACCACUCCACCUUACGCCCCCUCCAGUAAGAAUCUGAUCCAAAACAAUGCCCCCAGGAGGGAGAACGACACCAGAGUCACCGUCAUCAUCCGACCCAGGAGACCUAGAUCUAGGGCUUCCCUUGGAGCAGAUACCCUCUGGAGGAAAAGAGGCACAACAUCUGCAUUUGCCAACGAACCCAAAUGGUACCCACUAUCACAAAGCUCUCAGGGCGACACCUUGAGCAUCAUCGUCGCCAACUGCAGUUAGUGUUUUCACCUGAGAAGCGGUGAGGUAGGAAGAAGUAAGGCAUACCCGAACGACAACUCCAAGAAGAAAACCGACGCCAACAAGCGUCGUUUUCAUCGUGGCCGGCCGAAGCGGACCAGGGAAUUAUCCUUGGUCAUAACCUAAGACGAGGUUCAUGGGCCAGAUGAUAUAGAGUAUGAGGACUAUAUGAUGGCGGUAACCAAUAAGAAGGUCAUUUCUAGUGAUUGGCGUGCUAGUCGAGGUGGUUUUGUUGCUCUGUCCAGGGGCAUGCCAUUCAAGUGUGCGUGAGGUCGGGACCGCGGUGGUGGCUCGACUGGCACAUGAAACAUACCGUGCAAGGCAGGGAAUGACAAGCUUGGAUGAAGAUGGGGAGUACGAGUUGGAUGACUCAUCGACUAGCCCAUUAAAGAAUACGUCAACUCCAGUAGGUGAAGAGAAGGACAAGGAAAGUGUUGCAAUGAAGCUGGACCUUGGUACAUAAAAUGUGCAUGCUAAUGUUAAGGAUCAUGAUGUCACCGAGAGAAGAACAUGCAAGAAGCGGCGGCUACCAAGGAAGGGCAAUCUGGUGACGGGUUGCAUGCCCUCCUCUCCCACCUCAAUAUGUGAGGUGUAGGGAUAGGAAGAAACCAAAACAUGGAACUUCACCCUAAAAAAGAUGAACUCUGAUGAAAAAUUGGCAAGCUCUGAUAUGGACCACUAAUAUUCUCGGUUAGAACAGUUGCGGGAUUGGCAACACAUGAUAUUUCGAGAGGUACACAUGUUAGUGCAAAAGACUGCCCCCAAGUGCUAUGUCUAUAGGAAACUCAAAGGUAGCACUACAAUAAAUAAUCUAGCAUUUAGGUUGGGCUUUGAUAAUAGUUGUGCCAUAGGGAGUGAUGGCCGCAAUGGUGCUUUGGCUAUGUACUAGAAUAAUUAUGUUACAAUGAGAUUGCUUCACUAUUCCUAGUAUCAUAUUGAUAUGAAAAUUAAAAUAGAUGGAGAAGAACAAUGCUGGUUUACAAAUAUCUAUGGAGAAACUAAUACGAGAGAGAGAGAGAGAGAGAGAGAGAGAGAGAGAGAGAGAGAGAGAGAGAGAGAGAGAGAGAGAGAGAGAGAGAGAGAGAGAGAUCUUGGAAACUUCUUGAGUUCCUGAGAUCAGAGUCAGAUCUUCCCUGCUAUGGAUUGGUGAUCUCAAUGAAGUACUACAUCAGAGUGAUGUUGGGGGCGACAAGAGGGACACGAAGCAAAUGAAUGACUUUCAAGAAGUAGUGGAUGCGACUGGGACCCUAAUUCAUAAAACCACCACAAUUCGUUUCUUUUCUUAAAAAAACCACCAAUAUUGUGCUGACAGUUUCAGAAACUACGGAUCAUUGGAUUAUCACUCAAUUAGAGAUGACGUUUGACAAAAAAACUGAUAGCUGGGUCCCAUGGUCAGGUGACAUGUGUCCAGGACGAAAUAACGCCGCUACUAACAAAAUUCACUAAUUGGAAUCAUAGGGAAGAUAUCACGUGGAAGAAGUGAUCAAGGGUUCAAGGGGAUUGCAACACAAAAAUCAUUAGCGGGGAAGCAGACGGAGGAAGAAGAACAAGAUAGGACAACUCGCGAUGUCUGAUGGAACUGUUGUGACGGAUGUUCACGAGCUGCACAACCUCAUAGUCCAUUUCUAUAAAACUCUCUACACUUCUGAAGGGGCAACAGGGACGGACGUGGUCCUUGAUAGUGUAACGGUAAAGGUGAAGCAAUUGGUAAACUUUAGGCUCGAUAAGGAGUAUGGGGUCGAAGAGGUGAAGGCUGCUCUUUUUCAGAUGUUCCCCACAAAAGUGUCGGGCCCUAACGGAAACUCAACAUGCCUGUGGACGGCGAUGAUAAGAAGAGGAGGACUACUCCACACGCGCCGGCCUCUACGACGACGUAUAACACGGACUCCGUGACACCCAUCAACAUGGCAGCGAGCGAUGCAUUGAAUUCGGGAGCCUUGGUGUCGUGCAGGAUGGGAUGAGGCAUGGUAGUAAUUAUUAUAGGAAGAUUUAUACUUGAGUUAACUAUUGAGAGGAGAGAAAUGGUUUACACGUGGGACCUACUUGCUAAUGUGAACAGUGUACAUGUUGAAAAAAAUUGACAGUAAUAGGCAUCAACAUCUUAAGAAUGUAAGAUGUCAUGCCAUUUAUUUAUUUAUUUGCAAGAAAACUUUCAAUCUAUUCCUCAAUUGUCAAGGUAGUACAAAGAACAUCAGAAUUAAAAAUUACAUCCAGAUCCAUAGACCACCUAGCGAUGACUACAAGCACUGAAGCGAGCCGAAGACGCACCGCCGUCAUCGCCCCUCCCUCAUCGGAGCCGGACAAACAUUGUUGUAGUAGUCAGUCGGGAAGUCGUAGUGCUAAGGCCCCAUAGGACCAGCACAGCAGAACAGCAACCGCCGGUGAUGAAGAGGAUCCUAGAUCGGAAAGAUCCAACCUGCAGACACAUAGACGAACGAAGAUUGAAUCCAAGAGGAUCCAUCAAAGACAAAUGCAGGCCGGAUGCCAUGAGAUCCGUUGAAGACACACCUCCACACGCCCUCCAGCGAUGUUAGAAACAUCACCGGGACGAGAGCUAGGCGGGAAGAACCUUAUUCCAUCUUCAAGAAGCCGCCUCCGCCCCGUCUUUCUGAAUAUGGCACAAACCAUAACAAAACUUCAAGAAACACCUAAAAACGGAGCCCUCCUAUCGGCAAGGGCCGGGAUCCAUCACGCCCCAUGAUCUAAGGAUCAUAGGAGAGGAGACGGACCGGCACGCCGCUGGCGAGAGACGGGGAAACCCUAACUGAUGAGCCAAGAGCGAAGGCCUGGUUCGUUACUUUAUCAUGACAUUUAUUUUGCUAGCGUUAUGCACACACUUCCUUAGCUAUAUGCUGCUCAUAGGAUGAGUGGCCAUGUUCUUAUCAAACAGUGUGGAAUUUUCCCAUUAGAACUUGUCUGCGUUGCCUUACAUGAUGGUGGGGAUUGAAUGCCUCUUCACCAUUGUUCGUUUACAAAUAUCAACAUGCACAAGAUUUUGUCAUCUUUUAUGAGUAUAGGCAUGUUAGCACGUGAACUUGAAAAACCUUGUUCAUUUUUUACCAUUUUUGUCCCAUGCAAAAAAGAGGCAAGUACAAUAUAAUUCAUAAGUUUGUUUUCUAUACAUUGCCAUAUUUUUUAAUUAAUUUCAGAAAGUUCACGUGUUAUACUCCUACAUCCAUGGUUUAAUCAACAUAUUUUUGGAUUCCCAUAACCCAUAUGCGCUACCUACUCAAAAUUUAUCUUAACUAGCAGCUAUGGAUUUGUCAAGCAUGCAUAUAUUUCUUAUCUACAUCCUAAAAUAUCUUUUGUACAACUGAAGUGUAUAACAUAUUCGGCAAUCUUUUUUGCCGAAAAUGUGGAUAACCCCUAGCCUCUGCAUCGAACGAUGCAUACAUCCAUCUUUAUUAAAUUAUGCAACAUGGCAAAAUAAAUACAAGGAUGAAUCCAAAGCCAUCUUUCUGGCGAUUUAUGUCGCUACACACACAUGCUUGAUGAUGUGCCUUGACCGCACCAACGCACGCCAUCUAAUUCGGUGGCCUCAUGAAGUCACCGCGGCUGUGAGCGAAGAGCACCAACAGGUCUAGCAGACCCACAACGCGCACCGCAGGCACGCGCUCUAGGAUCCUGCGCUGCCAUCUUCGACCGUCCCAUCUUCUAGAGGGAUCCUCGCAUUGACCUUGCCAGGACCAGCUAUUGUCGACGCCACCAUGAUGCCAGACAACGCCACUAGUCUGCACGCGUCCAUCAAGCCGCGUCCAACGCCGAGACUCCACUGCGCCACACCGCCGAGACCUGCCGUCUUCGAGGAGGUAGAUGCAAUACCACUCCACCUUACGGCUCCUCCAGUAAGAAUCUGCUCCAAAACAAUGCCCCAAGGAGGGAGAACUGAAGGAGAUAUGCCUUAGAGGCAAUAAUAAAGUUGUCAUUUAUAUUUCCUUAUAUCAUGAUAAAUGUUUAUUAUUCAUGCUAGAAUUGUAUUAACCGGAAACUUAGUACAUGUGUGAAUACAUAGACAAACAAAGCGUCACUAGUAUGCCUCUACUUGACUAGCUUGUUAAUCAAAGAUGAUUAAGUUUCCUAGCCAUGGACAAGAGUAGUCAUUUGAUGAACGGGAUCACAUCAUUCUAAUGAAGUGAUUGACUUGACCCAUCUGUUAGCUUAGCACUAUGAUCGUUUAGUUUAUUGCUAUUGAUUUCUUCUUAACUUAUACAUGUUCCUAUGACUAUGAGAUUAUGCAACUCCCGAAUACCGGAGGAACACUUAGUGUGCUAUCAAACGUCACAACGUAACCGGGUGAUUAUAAAGAUGCUCUACAAGUGUCUCCGAUGGUGUUUGUUGAGUUGGCAUAGAUCGAGAUUAGGAUUUGUCACUCCGAUUGUCGGGGAGGUAUCUCUGGGCCCUCCAGGUAAUACACAUCACUAUAAUCCUUGCAAGCAAUGUGACUAAUGAGUUAGUUACGGGAUGAUGCAUUAUGGAACGAGUAAAGAGACUUGCCGGUAACGAGAUUGAACUAGGUAUAAUGAUACCGACGAUCGAAUCUCGGGAAGUAACAGACCGAUGACAAAGGGAACAACGUAUGUUGUUAUGCGGUUUGACCGAUAAAGAUCUUCGUAGAAUAUGUGGAAACCAAUAUGAGCAUCCAGGUUCCGCUAUUGGUUAUUGACUGCAGAUGAGUCUCGGUCAUGUCUACAUAGUUCUCGAACCCGUAGGGUCCGCACGCUUAACGUUCAAUGACGAUCGGUAUUAUGAGUUUAUGUGUUUUGAUGUACCGAAGGUUGUUCGGAGUCUCAGAUGUGAUCAUGGACAUGACGAGGAGUCUCGAAAUGGCCGAGACAUAAAGAUUGAUAUAUUGGAUGACUAUAUUCGGACACCGAAUGAGUUCCCCGGGUCAUCAGAUAUAUAUCAGAGUGCCGAAAGGGUUAUCGGAACCACCGGAGAAGUAAUGGGCCUUAUUGGGCCUAGGGGAGAGAGAGGGGCUGCCAAGGGCUGGCCGCGUGCCCCCCAUGGGCCUAGUCCGAAUUGGACUAGGGGGAGGGGCGGCGCCCCCUCCUUCCUUCUUCUCCUAGUAGGACUAGGAAAGGGGGGAGUCCUACUCCUACUAGGAGGAGGAUUCCUUCCCCCUUGGCGCGCCUAUGAGGGCCGGCCGGCCUCCCCCUCCAUAUUUUAUAUACGUGGGGAGGAGGGCACCCUAGGACACACAAGUUGACAGUUGCCUUAGCCGUGUGCGGUGCCCCCUCCACAUAUUUCCACCUCGGUCAUAUCAUUGUAGUGCUUAGGCGAAGCCCUGCAUGCGUUGGUACCUUCAUCAUCAUCGUCAUCACGCCGUCGUGCUGACGAAACUCUCCCUCGGCCUUAGCUGGAUCAAGAGUACGAGGGAUGUCACUGAGCUGAACGUGUGCAGAUCGCAGAGGUGUCGUGCGUUCGGUACUUGGAUCGGUUGGACCGCGGAGACGUUCGACUACAUCAACCGUGUUACUAAACGUUUCCGCUUUCGGUCUACGAGGGUACGUGGACACACUCUCCCCGCUCUUUGCUAUGCAUCACCUAGAUGGAUCUUGCGUGUGCGUAGGCAAAUGUUUUUAAAUACUACGUUCCCUAAUAGUGGCAUCCGAGCCAGGUCUAUGCGUAGAUGUUAUAUGCACGAGUAUAACACAAAGAGUUAUGGGCGAUAAUAGUCAUACUGCUUAUCAGCAUGUCAUACUUUGAUUCAAUGGUAUUGUUGGAUGAAGUGGCUCAGACCGACAUUACGCGUACGCUUACGCGAGACUAGUUCUACCGACGUGCUUCGCACACAGGUGGCUAGUGGGUGUGUGUUUCUCCAACUUUAGUUGAAUCGAGUGUGACUACGCCCGGUCCUUGUUGUAGAUUAAAACAACAAACUUGACGAAAAAUCGUUGUGGUUUUGAUGCGUAGGUAAGAACGGUUUUUGCUAAGCCCGUAGCAGUCACGUAAGACUUGCAACAACAAAGUAGAGGACGUCUAACUUGUUUUUGCAGGUCAUGUUGUAUUGUGAUAUGGUCAAGACGUGAUUAUAUAAAUUGUUGUAUGCGAUGAUCAUGUUUUGUAACAAAGUUAUCGGCAACUGGCAGGAGCCAUAUGGUUGUCGCUUUAUUGUAUGAAAUGCAAUCGCCAUGUAAUUGCUUUAGUUUAUCACUAAGCGGUAGCGAUGGUCGUAGAAGCAAUAGUUGGCGAGACGACAACGACACUUCGAUGGAGAUCAAGGUGUCAAGCCGGUGACGAUGGUGAUCAUGACGGUGCUUUGGAGAUGGAGAUCGAAGGCACAAGAUGAUGAUGGCCAAAUCAUAUCACUUAUAUUGAUUGCAUGUGAUGUUUAUCCGUUAUGCAUCUUAUUUUGCUUAGUACGGUGGUAGCAUUAUAAGAUGAUCUCUCACUAAAUUUCAAGGUAUAAGUGUUCUCCCUAAGUAUGCACCGUUGCUAUAGUUCGUGGUGCCGAGACACCAUGUGAUGAUCGGGUGUGAUAAGCUCUACGUUCACAUACAACGGGUGCAAGCCAGUUUUGCACAUGCAGAAUACUCGGGUUAAACUUGACGAGCCUAGCUUAUGCAGAUAUGGCAUCGGAACACUGAGACCGAAAGGUCGAGCGUGAAUCAUAUAGUAGAUAUGAUCAACAUAGUGAUGUUCACCAUUGAAAACUACUCCAUCUCACGUGAUGAUCGGACAUGGUUUAGUUGAUAUGGAUCACGUGAUCACUUAGAUGAUUAGAGGGAUGUCUAUCUAAGUGUGAGUUAUUAAGUAAUUUGAUUAAUUGAACCUAAAUUUAUCAUGAACUUAGUACCUGAUAGUAUUUUGCAUGUCUAUGUUGUUGUAGAAAAAUGGCCAAUGCUGUUGUUCCGUUGAAUUUUAAUGCGUUCCUAGAGAAAGCUAAGUUGAAAGAUGAUGGUAGCAAUUACAUGGACUGGGUCCGUAACUUGAGGAUUAUCCUCAUUGCUGCACAGAAGAAUUACAUCCUGAAAGCGCCGCUAGGUGCCAAACCCGCUGCAGGAGCAACGCCAGAUGUUAUGAACACCUGGCAGAGCAAAGUUGAUGACUACUCGAUAGUUCAGUGUGCCAUGAUUUACGACUUAGAAGCGGGACUUCAACGACGUUUUGAAUGUCAUGGAGCAUAUGAGAUGUUCCAGGAGUUGAAGUUAAUAUUUCAAGCAAAUGCCCGGAUUGAGAGAUAUGAAGUCUCCAAUAAGUUCUACAGCUGCAAAAUGGAGGAGAAUAGUUCUAUCAGUGAGCAUAUACUCGGAAUAUCUGGAUACCACAAUCACUUGACUUAGCUGGGAGUUAACCUUCCAGUUGAUAGUUUCAUUGGUAGAGUUCUUCAAUCACUGCCAACAAGCUACAAAAGCUCCGUGAUGGACUAUAAUAUGCAAGGGAUGGAUAAGACAAGUCCCGAGCUCUUCGCGAUGCUAAAGGCUGCGGAGGUAGAAAUCAAGAAGGAGCAUCAAGUGUUGAUGGUCAACAAGACCACCCGUUUCAAGAAAAUGGGCAAUGGGAAGAAGGGGAACUUAAAGAAGAACGGCAAACAAGUUGCUCCUCAAGUGAAGAAGCCCAAGUCUAGACCUAAGCCUGAGACUGGGUGCUUCUACUUCAAAGGGACUGGUCACUGGAAGCAGAACUGCCUCAAGUAUUUGGCGGAGAAGAAGGAUGGCAAAGUGAAAGGUAUAUUUGAUAUACAUGUUAUUGAUGUGUACCUUACUAAUGGUCACAAUAGCGCCUGGGUAUUUGAUACUGAUUCUGUUGCUAAUAUUUGCAACUCGAAACAGGGGAUACGGAUUAAGCGAAGAUUGGCUAAGGACGAGGUGACGAUGCACGUGGGAAAUGGUUCCAAAGUCGAUGUGAUCGCCGUCGGCACGUUACCUCUACAUCUACCUUCAGGAUUAGUUUUAGACCUGAAUAAUUGUUAUUUGGUGCCAGCGUUAAGCAUGAACAUUAUCUGGAUCUUGUUUGAUGCGAGACGGUUAUUUAUUUAAAUUAGAGAAUAAUGGUUGUUCUAUUUAUAUGAAUAAUAUCUUUUAUGGUCAUGCACCCUUGAUGAGCGGUCUAUUUUUUACUAAAUCUUGAUAGUAGUGAUAGACAUGUUCAUAACAGUGAAGCCAAAAGAUAUAAGUUUAAUAAUGAUAGUGCAACUUAUUUGUGGCACUGCCGUUUAGGUCAUAUUGGUGUAAAGCGCAUGAAGAAACUCCAUGCUGAUGGGCUUUUGGAAUCACUUGAUACUUGCAAACUAUGCCUCAUGGGCAAGAUGACUAAGACUCCGUUCUCCGGAACAAUGUAGCGAGCAACAGACUUGUUGGAAAUAAUACAUACUGAUGUAUGCGGUCCGAUGAGUGUUGAUACUCGUGGCGGGUAUCGUAAUUUUCCGACCUUCAUAGAUGAUUUGAGCAGAUGUGGGUAUAUCUACUUGAUGAAACAUAAGUCUAAAACAUUUGAAAAGUUCAAAGAAUUUCAGAGUGAAGUGGAAAAUCAUCGUAACAAGAAAAUAAAAUUUCUACGAUCUGAUCAUGGAGGAGCAUAUUUGAGUUACGAGUUUGGUCUUCAUUUGAAACAAUACAGAAUAGUUUCACAGCUCACGCCACCCGGAACACCACAACGUAAUGGUGUGUCCGAACGUCGUAAUCGUACUUUAUUAGAUAUGAUGCGAUCUAUGAUGUCUCUCACUGAUUUACCGCUAUCGUUUUGGGGUUAUGCUUUAGAGACGACUGCAUUCACGUUAAAUAGGGUGCCAUCUAAAUCCGUUGAGACGAUGCCAUAUGAACUGUGGUUUGGCAAAAAACCCAAGUUGCCGCUUCUUAAAGUUUGGGGUUGCGAUGCUUAUGUGAAAAAGCUUCAGCCUGAUAAGGUCGAACCCAAAUCGGAGAAAUGUGUCUUCAUAGGAUACCCAAAGGAGACUGUUGGGUACACCUUCUAUCACAGAUCUGAAGGCAAGAUAUUCGUUGCUAAGAAUGGAUCCUUUCUAGAGAAGGAGUUUCUCUCGAAACAAGUGAGUGGGAGGAAAGUAGAACUUGACGAGGUAAUUGUAGCUACUCCCUUAUUGGAAAGUAGUUCAUCACAGAAAUCAGUUCCAGUGAAUUCCUACACCAGUAAGUGAGGAAGCUAAUGAUAAUGAUCAUGAAACUUCUGAUCAAGUUACUACAGAACCUCGUAGGUCAAGCAGAGUAAGAUCCGCACCAGAGUGGUACGGUAAUACCGUUCUGGAGGUCAUGUUACUUGACCAUGACGAACCUACAAACUAUGAGGAAGUGAUGAUGAGCCCAGAUUCCGCAAAAUGGCUUGAGGUCAUGAAAUCUGAGAUGGGAUCCAUGUAUGAGAACAAAGUGUGGACUCUGGUUGACUUGCGCGAUGAUCGGCAAACCAUAGAGAAUAAAUGGAUCUUCAAGAAGAAGACUGACGCGGACGGUAAUAUUACUGUCUACAAUGCUUGACUUGCUACGAAAGGUUUUUGACAAGUUCAAGGAGUUGACUAAGAUGAGACCUUCUCACCCAUAGCGAUGCUUAAGUCCUCCCGAAUCAUGUUAGAAAUUGCCGCAUUUUAUGAUUAUGAAAUUUGGCAAAUGGAUAUCAAAAUUGCAUUCCUUAAUAUUAUUGUCUACAAAUCUUGAAUUUAAUCCACCGGAGAAGAAAAAUAAUGAAGAAUCAUAAACUUGAAGAGCAUCUUCAUGAUAAAUCACCGGGUAAGAACAUUGAAGAAAGAAUGAAGAGACUUCACAUCAAUAAGAUGGAUACUUGAUUAAGAAAUCUGAUUCCUUGAAGGAAAAGGGUGGGAGGGCUGGAAAACAAAGACAACUUGGGACGGAUGAAACAAAUAACGUUGAGAAGACUUUGAGUUGAUCUUGCGGAUGUUGAAAUGAUCGGAUCCACUUGGAGAGAAAGACAUCGGUUGGAAAAGGAUUGACAUGACAAUCUCGAUUAUCAUCGAGGAUUUGCAUUCACAUCGAAAGAUGAGAACACCACUUAGAAAAGGUAUGGAAUCAACACUUGACAUUGAAACAACUCGAAUACCACAACUGAAAACAAAACAAAGGAUUUGGCUUGCAGAAUAAGCCGAAAACAAACAUAUGAUAGAUCCCAUAUCGUAUCAUGUGUCUGUUGGAAAGAUAUCCUACGAGAUACUUGAAUUCCCACUUAUAAACUCCUGAAACUUUCUGGUUAUGCAAUCAGGUGUUGGGGAUACAGGGGAAGCAUAAUAUCUCACUCAAACUAACAAUCCCUACAUCCAGCUGUAUCCGUCCUUCAACACAUAACCAAGAAACCUUCGGAAAUCAUGUACCUCAACCUUCGAAAAGCAUCCGUUAUACGAGUUAUGGCAAUACUCCUGAACUCCCGCCCCAGUACUGGGUGACAUCGAGGUUAUCUCACCAACAACUACAUAAAAGAGAUUUUCGAUGCCGGCGAACUCAGGUAUUCCAGAACUGCAACGAUAAAAUUGUGACGACAACACCUCGGAGAUCAACUCCCCGGGACACUGCCACAACCCCUAAAUGUUAGGAGGCACCCAGAACAAUGUUCUCGUCACAAGACUAUCGGAACGAUUCCAAGAUACCCGCGUGAUCCUAAUUUUUUUCGUGAAAUCCGAGGAGAGAAAAGUCAAAACUUCUACGUCAAGAGGCCUCACCAGAGCGACGAAGGGACUAAGGAGUAAAAAGAAUCCUACUCUCCGAUAUAUAUAUAUAUAUAUAUAUAUAUAUAUUCCUAAGACUCAAAACAUUUUGUUCUAGACUCAACAACAUCAGCGAUUCGAUCAAGCAGGGGGCUCCUAAGUCGGGGAUGGCUCUGAUUACCAACUUGUAACAACCAUAAUGCGGCUAUAUCUCCCACGUGUCGGGGCACGACUUAGAGGCAUAGCCGCAUGGUAGUUUUGUCGCAAGAGGAGUAAUCUUCAUACAAUCCCAUGUACUGAAUAAGAAAGGGAUAAUUCACACAAUACAUAAAAAAAUCAUACAUCAUCCAAUUACACUCAAAGACCGACCAUGGCCAGAACAAAGGAAGAUAACUGAUAACCCACAAGUAUAGGGGAUCGCAACAGCUUUCGAGGGUAGAGUAUUCAACCCAAAUUUAUUGAUUCAACACAAGGGGAGACAAAGAAUAUUCUCAAGUAUUAGCAGCUGAGUUGUCAAUUCAACCACACCUGGAAACUUAGUAUCUGCAGCAAAGUGUUUAGUAGCAAAGUAAUAUGAUAGUGGUGGUAGCGGCAACAAAAGUAAAGACAACAAAAGUAAUGUUUUUGGUAUUUUGUAGUGAUUAUAACAGUAGCGGCGGGAAAGUAAAUAAGCGUAAACCAGUAUGUGGAAAAUUUGUAGGCACCAGAUUAGUGAUGGAUAAUUAUGCCGGAUGCGGUUCAUCAUGUAACAGUCAUAACGUAGGGUGACACAGAACUAGCUCCAAUUCAUCAAUGUAAUGUAGGCAUGUAUUCCAUAUAUAGUCAUACGUGCUUAUGGAAAAGAACUUGCAUGACAUCUUUUGUCCUACCCUCCCGUGGCAGCGGGAUCCUAUUGUAAACUAAGGGAUAUUAAGGCCUCCUUUUAAUAGAGAACCGGAACAAAGCAUUAGCACAUAGUGAAUACAUGAACUCCUCAAACUACGGUCAUCACCGGGAGUGAUCCCGAUUAUUUUCACUUCGGGGUUGCCGAAUCAUAACACAUAGUAGGUGACUAUAGACUUGCAAGAUCGGAUCAAGAACUCACAUAUAUUCAUGAAAACACAAUAGGUUCAGAUCUGAAAUCAUGGCACUCGGGCCCUAGUGACAAUCAUUAAGCAUAGCAAAGUCAUAGAAACAUCAAUCUCAGAACAUAAUGGAUACUAGGGAUCAAACCCUAACAAAACUAACUCGAUUACAUGAUAAAUCUCAUCCAACCCAUCACCGUCCAGCAAGCCUAUGAUGCAAUUACUCACGCCCGGCGGUGAGCAUCAUGAAAUUGGUGAUGGAGGAUGGUUAAUGAUGACAACGGCGAUGAAUCCCCCUCUCCGGAGCCCCGAACGGACUCCAGAUCAGCCCUCCCGAGAGGUUUUAGGGCUUGGCGACGACUCCAUAUCGUAAAACGCGAUGAUUUCUUCUCUCUGAUUUUUUCUCUCCGAAAGCAAAUAUAUAGAGUUGGAGUUGGCGUCGGAGGGUUUCUAGGGGGCCCACGAGGUAGGGGGGCGCGCCCUAGGGGGGCGCCCCCCACCCUCGUGAGAAGGUUGUGGGCCCCCUGGUCUUCAUCUUUGGCGAGGAUUUUUUAUUGUUUUUUCUAAGAUGUUCCGUGGAGUUUCGGGUCAUUCCGAGAAUAUUUGUUUUCUGCACAUAAAAUAACACCAUGGUAAUUCUGCUGAAAACAAUGUCAGUCCGGGUUAGUUCCAUUCAAAUCAUACAAGUUAAGAGUCCAAAACAAGGGCAAAAGUGUUUGGAAAAGUAGAUACGACGGAGACGUAUCAACUCCCCCAAGCUUAAACCCUUGCUUGUCCUCAAGCAAUUUAGUUGACAAACUGAAAGAAAGAAAGAAAAACUUUUACAAACUCUGUUUGCUCUUGUUGUUGUAACUAUGUCAAGCCAGUAUUCAAGUUUUCAGCAUAGAUCAUAACUAACCACAUUUGCAAUAAUUCUCAGGUCUCAUAAUUACUCAUAUCAGUAGCAUAAUCAACUAGCAAGCCAUAAUAAUAAAUCUCGGAUGACAACAGUUUCUCAAAACAAUCAUAAUAUGAUAUAACAAGAUGGUAUCUCGCUAGCCCUUUCUGAGACCGCAAAACAUAAAUGCAAUAGCACCUUUAAAGAUCAAUGACUGACUAGACAUUGUAAUUCAUGGUAAAAGAGAUCCAAUCAUAGUCAUACCCAAUAUAAAUUAAUAGUGAUGAAUGCAAAUGACGGUUGUGCUCUCUAGCUAGUGCUUUUAAUAAGAGGGUGAUGACUCAACAUAAAAGUAAAUGGAUAGGCCCUUCGCAGAGGGAAGCAGGGAUUUGUAGAGGUGCCAGAGCUCGGUUUUGAAAUAGAGAUAAAUUGUAUUUUGAGCGGUAUACUUUCAUUGUCAACGUAACAACUAAGAGAUGGCGAUAUCUUCCAUGCUAAACACAUUAUAGGCGGUUUCCAAAUAGAAUGGUAAAGUUUAUACUCCCCCUCCCCCAACAAACAUCAAUCCAUGGCUUGUUCGAAACAACGAGUGCCUCCAACAUACAUCAGGUCCCAGGGGGAGUUUUGUUUGCAAUUAAUUUUGAUUUAGUUUGCAUAAAGCAUGGGACUGGGCAUCCCAGUGACCAGCCAUUUUCUCGUGAGUGAGGAGCGGAGUCCACUCCUCUUGAGAAUAACCCGCCUAACAUGGAAGAUAAGGACAGCCUUUGUUGAUGCAUGAGCUAUUCGAGCAUACAAAACAGAAUGUUUAUUUGAAGGUUUAGAGUUUGGCACAUACAAAUUUACUUGGAACGGCAGGUAGAUACCGCAUAUAGGAAGGUAUAGUGGACUCAUCUAGAAUAACUUUGGGGUUUAAGGGAUUGGAUGCACAAGCAGUAUUCCCGCUUAGUACAAGUGAAGGCUAGCAAAAGACUGGGAAGUGACCAACUAGAGAGCGACAACAACCAUGUACAUGCAUUAAAAUUAAUAAACAUUGGAUGCAAGCAUGAGUAGGAUAUAAUCCACCAUGAACAUAAAUAUCGUGAAGGCUAUGUUGAUUUGUUUCAACUACAUGCGUGAACAUGUGCCAAGUCAAGUCACUUAAAUCAUUCAAAAGAGGAUACCACCCCAUCAUACCACAUCAUAAUCAUCUCAAUAGCAUGUUGGCACACAAGGUAAAUCCUUAUAGCUCAUAGCUAAUCAAGCAUGGCACAAGCAACUACGAUCUCUAAUUGUCAUUGCAAACAUGUUUAUUCAUAAUAAGCUGAAUCAAGAACGAGGGACUCAUCAUAUUUACAAAAACAAAAGAGGUCGAGUUCAUACCAGCUUUUCUCAUCUCAGUCAGUCCAUCAUAUAUCAUCAUAAUUGCCUUUCACUUGCACGACCGAACAGUGUGAAUAAUAAUAAGAGUGCACGUGCAUUGGACUAAUCUGGAAUCUGCGAGCAUUCAAUAAACAGGAGAAGACAAGGCAAUAUGGGCUCUUGGUUAAAUCAACAAUAAUGCAUAUAAGAGCCACUUCAACAAUUUAAUUAUGGUCUUCUCCUACUGACCCCCAAAGAAAAGAAAAGAAAUAAAACUAUUUACACGGGAAAGCUCCCAACAAGCAAAAGAAUAACGGGAAAUAUUUUGGGGUUUUCUUCUUAAUUAUUAUUACUAUAGCAGAGAAAUAAACUACUACUAAUUUUUUUGGUUUUUCUUAAGGUUUAACUAACACACAAGAAGAAAGCAGGAAAAAGAAAAUAAACUAGCAUGGAUAUUACAGUGAAAAAGUAUGAGCACCGACAUCUAGCAAUGAGUGUGUGUGAACAUAAAUGUAAUGUCGGUGAGAAAUACGUACUCCCCCAAGCUUAGGCUUUUGGCCUAAGUUGGUCUAUGGCAACGGCUGGCCUGGCGGAUAUCCAUAACAAUAGUUGUUGGGGUCGUACUGUGAUGAGGAGGAAUAGUUGGGAUCAUGCUGAUGUGCAGCGGUUAUCGCCUGCUGAGCUGCAGCAUGGAGUCGAGCUGCCUCCGCUCUCCUCUCGUACUCUUCUGCCUCCUCUCUGGUAAUAACAUAUCUUUCUUUUGUCUGUGAAUCAAAGAAGGCAGGAGCAGUGAGAGUAAUACGGAAAACACGUCGUUUAUCAAAAAUUAAACGAUACAAGAGAGGUGAUUCAGUCCUCUCGACAAACUGGUGUGAAGCCAUAGUCAUAAUCUAAAUAUGCAGGAGGCAACUCCAUAUCACCCUCACGAAUGUCUAUCUCAAGAAAAUGAGCUAAGCGGGUUGCAUAAAUUCCUCCAAAGAAAUCUCCAUUAUGUCUAUUAUGAUGCAACCUACGAGCUACAAUGGCUCCCAUAUGAUAAGAUUGGUCUCCUAACACAGCACUCCUAAGAAUGCAAAGAUCAGGGACACACAUGUGACAUGCUUCAUCUUUAGCAUUUAUGCAUCUACCGAUGAAGAGAGCAAAAUAAUGUAUAGCAGGAAAGUGAAUGCUCCCUAUGGUAGCCUGCGUUAUAUCUCUAGAUUCCCUCACAGUUAUACUAGCAAGAAAGUUUCUAAAUUCAGAUUUAGGGGGAUCCCUAGCACUACCCCAUGAUGGAAGUUUGCAAGCAGAAGUGAAAUCCUCUAAGUCCAUGGUAUAAGAUUUGUCAUAGAGAUCAAACAUGACUGAAGGAGAAUUACGUGAAGAUGAAUACUCAAACCUCCUCACAAAUGAACUUGAGAGAUCAUGAUACUGGGGGCAUUUGUUAGCCUCAAAAUCCUCAAGACCGGAAUUGCGCAAAUAUGCUUUGAAUUCUUCUUUAAUUCCCGCACGGUCCAUAAAAUUUUCCGACGGCCAUUCGCAAGGCCGUACUGGAGCGUCUCAUGGUGGAUCCUUGUCAGCAUCGCGCAUAGCAAUCCUGGGUCCUUGCUUCUUAGAGGAACCACCUUGGAACAUCUUCCUAAGCAUAUUGUUUUUCUCUGAAAAAUUCUGAAAUUUUUAGUAACUUCAAAAUAAAAGUAAACCAAACUCAAUAAUAUUGAUAGCAACUACUCCUACAAGUGCCUAGAGCCUAUAUCAAGCAUUAGAACUACUUAGAACCAUAUAAAUUUGACAUGCAAGCUCAAGAACAUGGUCACCUAUGCAGCACAAAUUUGCAAAGAAUAAAGCACUAGAACAAAAACUAAUUGGACCAAUGGAGGAGUUACAUACCAAGGAACAAUCUCCCCAAGCAGUUUUGCGAGAGGUGCUUUGAGCAAGGAGAUUGAAAAUCAUAACAAAAGUGGCUGGAACUCGUGCUUGAGUUGGUUUUCGGGUUUGUGUAAGAUAGAGGAAGAAGAUGGGUGAUGGAAUAAGUGGAGGAGUGCCACCGUGGGCCCAUGAGGCAGGGGGGCACGCCCUAUAGGGGGGGCGCCCACCACCCUCGUGGCCAGGUGGCAGCUCCUCCCGCAGUAAUUUUUGCACAGUAAAUCCUCAAAUAUUCCCGAAAAAAUCAUAUUAAAUUGGCUUGGCAUUCUGAGGACUUUUAUUUUCGGGAUAUUUUUAUAUUGCACGGAUAAGUCAGGAAACAGACAGAAAAAUACUAUUUUUACUUUAUUUAAUAUAAAUAACAGAAAGUAUAGAGAUGGUACAGAAGGUUGUGCUUCUAGUUUCAUCCAUCUCAUGCUCAUCAAAAAGAAUCCACUAACAAGGUUGAUCAAGUCUUGUUAACAAACUCAUUCCGAUAAUCAUGGAACCGGAGAAAUUUCGAAUAAUGACUAGGUUACCUCAACGGGGAUAUGCACAUCCCCUAUAAUAAGUAUAUCAUAUUUCUUCUUGACAGUUGGUAGAGGAAAUUCAAAAUCUCCAAAUAUAAUCGAUGGAAUUUUUCCAAUAGAGUUGAUACUAUGAACUUGAGGUUGUUUCCUCGGAAAGUGUACCGUAUGAUCAUUACCAUUAACAUGAAAAGUGACAUUGCCUUUGUUGCAAUCAACAACAGCCCCUGCAGUAUUAAGAAAAGGUCUUCCAAGAAUAAUAGACAUACUAUCAUCCUCGGGAAUAUCAAGUAUAACAAAGUCCGUUAAAAUAGUAACGUUUGCAACCACAAUAGGCACAUCCUCACAAAUACCGACAGGUAUAGCAGUUGAUUUAUCAGCCAUUUGCAAAGAUAUUUCGGUAGGUGUCAGCUUAUUCAAGUCAAGUCUACGAUAUAAAGAGAGAGGCAUAACACUAACACCGGCUUCAAGAUCACAUAAAGCAGUUUUAAUAUAAUUUCUUUUAAUGGAGCAAGGUAUAGUAGGUACUCCGGGGUCUCCAAGUUUCUUUGGUAUUCCACCCUUAAAAGUAUAAUUAGCAAGCAUGGUGGAAAUUUCAGCUUUUGGUGUCUUUCUUUUAUUAGUAAUGAUAUCCUUCAUAUAUUUAGCAUAAGGAUUUGUUUUGAGCACAUCAGUUAAUCUCAUAUGCAAAAAGAUAGGCCUAAUCAUUUCAGCAAAGCGCUCAAAAUCCUGAUCAUCCUUUUUCUUGGAUGGUUUCAGAGGAAAAGGCAUGGGUUUCUGAACCCAAGGUUCCCUUUCUUUACCAUGUUUCCUAGCAACAAAGUCUCUUUUAUCAUAACGUUGAUUCUUUGAUUGUGGGUUAUCAAGAUCAACAGCGGGUUCAAUUUGUACAUCAUUAUCAUUACUAGGUUGAGCAUCAUCAUGAACAUCAUUACUAAUAUUUUUAUUAGGUUCAUGUUCAUUACCAGGUUGUGUUUCAGCAUCAGACAUAGAUAUAUCAUUUGGAUUAUCAGGUGGUUCAGGAAUAGGUUCACUAGAAGUUUGCACAGUUCUAUCAUUUUUCUUCUUCUUCUUUUUAGAAGAACUAGGAACAUCAAUAUUAUUUCUUUGAGAAUCUUGCUCGAUUCUCUUAGGGUGGCCUUCAGGAUACAAAGGUUCCUGAGUCAUUCUACCCGUUCUAGUAGCCACUCUAACAACAUAAUCAUUUUCUUACUAUCCAUUUCAUUAAGCACUUCUUUUUGAGCCUUAAGUACUUGUUCUACUUGAGUGGUAACCAUAGAAGCAUGUUUGCUAACAAGUUUAAGUUCACCUUUAAUAUCAGCCAUAUAAUCACCCAAGCGUCUAAUCAUAUAAGCAUUUUCUUUUAAUUGUCUACCAAAAUAAGCAUUGAAGUCGUCUUGCUUAAACAUAAAAUUAUCAAACUCAUCCAAGCACUGACUAGCAAUUUUAGUAGGAGAGACUUCAGCUUUAUCAUAUCUAUAAAGUGAAUUUACCUUUACUACCUGUGUCGAGAUAUCGGCAUCAGGAGGUUCUUCAGUAAAUAAAGAAUUGAGAUCAUAUGUUUCUUCAACAGGCGGUAUAUUAAGACCAUGUAUUUCUUCAAUAGGAGGUAAAUUCUUAACAUCUUCAGCUUUAAUACCUUUUUCUUUCAUAGAUUUCUUUGCCUCUUGCAUAUCUUCAGGACUGAGAAAUAGAACACCUCUCUUCUUCGGAGUUAGUUUAGCAAUAGACUCAGUAAUUGGAGCAGGAGUUGGCUCAGGAGGUGCCCAAUUAUUUUCAUUUGUCAACAUAUUAUUCAAUAGGAUUUCAGCUUCAUCCGGUGUUCUUUCCCUGAAAAGAGAACCAUCACAACUAUCCAGGUAAUCUCCGGAAGCAUCGGUUAGUCCACUAUAAAAGAUAUCAAGUAUUUCGGGUUUCUUAAGAGGAUGAUUAGGCAAAGCAUUAAGUAACUUGAGAAGCCUCCCCCAAGCUUGUGGGAGACUCUCUUCUUUAAUUUGCACAAAAUUGUAUAUUUCCCUCUAAGCAGCUUGUUUCUUAUGAGCAGGGAAAUAUUUAGCAGAGAAGUAAUAAAUCAUAUCCUGGGGACUACGCACACAACCAGGAUCAAGAGAAUUAAACCAUAUCUUAGCAUCACCCUUUAAUGAGAACGGAAAUAUUUUGAGUAUAUAGAAGUAACGCGAUCUCUCAUCAUUAGUAAACAGGGCAGCUAUAUCAUUUAAUUUAGUAAGAUGUGCCACAACAGUUUUAGAUUCAUAGCCAUAAAACGGAUCAGAUUCAACCAAAGUAAUUAUAUCAGGAUCAACAGAGAAUUCAUACUCCUUAUGAGGGACACAAAUAGGUGAAGUAGCAAAAGCAGGGUCGGGUUUCAUUUUAUCUCUAAGUGAUUCUUUGUUCCAUUUAAUUAAUAACCUCUUAAGCUCAUAUCUAUCUUUGCAAGCUAAAAUAGCGGCAGAAGAUUCCAUAUCAAGAAGAUAGCCCUCAGGAAUAACAGGCAUAUUUUCAUCAUCACUAUCAUCAUCAUAUUCAGAUUCAAUAAUUUCUUUUUCUCUAGCCCUAGCAAUUUUUUCAUCAAGAAAUUCACUAAGGGGCACAGUAGUAUCAGGCAUAGAAGCAGUUUCAUCAUAAGUAUCAUGCAUAGCAGAAGUGGCAUCAUCAAUAACAUGCGACAUAUCAGAACGAAUAGCAGAAGCAGGUCUAGGUGUCGCAAACUUACUCAUAACAGAAGGUGAAUCAAGUGCAGAGCUAGAUGGCCGUUCCUUACCUCCCCUCGUAGUUGAGGGAUAGAUCUUGGUUUUUGGAUCUCUCAAGUUCUUCAUAGUGUCUAGCAGAUAUAAAUCCCAAGUGACUCAAAGAAUAGAGCUAUGCUCCCCAGCAACGGCGCCAACAAUUAGUCUUGAUAAUCCACAAGUAUAGGGGAUCGCAACAGCUUUCGAGGGUAGAGUAUUCAACCCAAAUUUAUUGAUACGACACAAGGGGAGCCAAAGAAUAUUCUCAAGUAUUAGCAGCUGAGUUGUCAAUUAAACCACACCUGGAAACUUAGUAUCUGCAGCAAAGUGUUUAGUAGCAAAGUAAUAUGAUAGUGGUGGUAGCGGCAACAAAAGUAAAGACAGCAAAAGUAAUGUUUUUGGUAUUUUGUAGUGAUUGUAACAGUAGCAGCGGGAAAGUAAAUAAGCGUAAACCAGUAUAUGGAAAACUCGUAGGCACCGGAUCAGUGAUGGAUAAUUAUGCCGGAUGGGGUUCAUCAUGUAACAUUCAUAACAUACGGUGACACAAAACUAGCUCCAGUUCAUCAAUGUAAUGUAGGCAUGUAUUCCGUAUAUAGUCAUACGUGCUUAUGGAAAAGAACUUGCAUGACAUCUUUUGUCCUACCCUCCUGUGGCAGCGGGGUCCUAUUGGAAACUAAGGGAUAUUAAGGCCUCCUUUUAAUAGAGAACCGGAACAAAGCAUUAGCACAUAGUGAAUACAUGAACUCCUUAAACUACGGUCAUCAUCGGGAGUGGUCCCGAUUAUUGUCACUUCGGGGUUGCCGGAUCAUAACACAUAGUAGGUGACUAUAGACUUGCAAGAUUGGAUCAAGAACUCACAUAUAUUCAUGAAAACAUAAUAGGUUCAGAUCUGAAAUCAUGGCACUCGGGCCCUAGUGACAAGCAUUAAGCAUAACAAAGUCAUAGCAACAUCAAUCUCAGAACAUAAUGGAUACUAGGGAUCAAACCCUAACAAAACUAACUCGAUUACAUGAUAAAUCUCAUCCAACCCAUCACCGUCCAGCAAGCCUACGCUGCAAUUACUCACGCACGGCGGUGAGCAUCAUGAAAUUGGUGAUGGAGGAUGGUUGAUGAUGAAGACGGCGACGAAGCCCCCUCUCCGGAGCCCCGAACGGACUCUAGAUCAUCCCUCCCGAGAGGUUUUAGGGCUUGGCGGUAGCUUCGUAUCGUAAAACGUGAUGAUUUCUUCUCUCUGAUUUUUUCUCUCCGAAAGCAAAAAUAUAGAGUUGGAGUUGGCGUCAGAGGGUUUCCAGGGGGGCCCACGAGGUAGGGGGGCGCGCCCUAGGGGGGGGGGGGCGCCCCCACCCUCGUGAGAAGGGUGUGGGCCCCUGGUCUUCAUCUUUGGCGAGGAUUUUUUAUUGUUUUUUCUAAGAUGUUUCGUGGAGUUUCAGGUCAUUCCGAUAAUAUUUGUUUUCUGCAUAUAAAACAACACCAUGGUAAUUCUGCUGAAAACAGCGUUAGUCCGGGUUAGUUCCAUUCAAAUCAUACAAGUUAGAGUCUAAAACACGGGAAAAAGUGUUUGGAAAAGUAGAUACGACGGAGACGUAUCAAUAACCCCAAAUGCUAGAUCCCCGACCGUCCUAACUGGGCUCCACUACUGAUCAACUGGAGAAGACACAAAACUACGAUCAAGAUCUUCAUCGAGCUCCCACUUGAACUCAGUUGCAUCACCUGCACUGGUAUCAUCGGCACCUGCAACUGUUUGGAAGUAUCUGUGAGUCACGAGGACUCAUCAAUCUCACACCUGCGAGAUCAAGACUAUUUAAGCUUAUGGGUAGGAGAAGGUAGUGAGGUGGAGCUGCAGGAAGCACUAAACAUAUAUGGUGGCUAACAUACGCAAAUAAGAGCGAGAAGGGAAGCAACGCAAUGGUCGAGAAGCUAGAAGUGAUCAAGAAGUGAUCCUGAAACUACUUACGUUCAAGCAUAACACAAGAUCGUGUUCACUCCCCGGACUCCGCCGAAAAGAGACCAUCACGGCUACACACACGGUUGAUGUAUUUUAAUUAAGUCAAGUGUCAAGUUCUCUACAACCGGACAUUAACAAAUUCGCAUCUGCCACAUAAACGCGGGCACUGAUGAAGCUGUGUAUCUAGGGUAGGGUCAUGGAUCUGUCCAAACUGACCUACCCAAGGACAUCUCGAGAAGAAAUCAUCUUUCAAUCGACUCUAAGGUGUCUCACUCGACAGACUUGAAGAUACUCGACCAAGAAGCAAUCACUCGACCGGUACCAAGCCACUCGACGGUCAGGUGACCUAAAGGCACUCCGCAUGCUAACGGUCGGUUAUUAAGUAGCUUUUAUGGUCAUCAUAGCGCUUUAUUACUAGCAUUACCAGUAACGCCCUGCCUUAAUGUACAUUGAACCCUUUGUAUCGUGGGCUGGCUGGGGUCUUGGCGCACUCUAUAUAAGCCACCCCCUCCUCCGAAACAAGGGUUCACACGCCUGUAAUUCACACACGCAUAAUCCAGUCGACCGCCUCCGGGCUCCGAGACGUAGGGCUAUUACUUCCUCCGAGAAGGGCCUGAACUCGUAAAUCUUGCGUUCUUACAACUCCUCUAUAGCUAAGAUCUUGCCUCUCCAUACUUACCCCCCUACAUCACUGUCAGACUUAGAACCAUGACAGUUGGCGCCCACCGUGGGGCAGGUGUUUUAGCGUUUUGUUGGAGGAGUUGCGAUCUUUUCCGACCCGAAUCAUCAUGGUUUUCGGCGGAGUUUUGGUGGAGGGCCGCAAGAUCCGUCUCGGCGCGCUCACGUUCAUCGCCGAUGACUCCACGUGGCUUCAGGAGGCUCCGCUCGAUGUGGACGCACUCCCUGUCCAUGGGGCAACGCACUUUAGCGCGUGCGCCCGCAGUGUUCUCCUGCGGCAACCGUUGACCCCCUACCGGUCGGAUCCUGUUGUCCUCCCUCCCAGUUUCCCGCCGGCGCAAGCGCUCUGGUCGGUCGAGACUCCAGCGGUGGGUGAGACACGCGGUGGCAUGCCAGUCGGCCACCCCUCAAGUCGCAUCGAGCCCGACGAAUCCCUCUACGGCCUGUUCGACUUGUCGACCGGCUCCGUAGAGACCGCAUCCGAGUGCGACAGCAGCGACCCGACGGCGGAGGUUCUAAUGGUCGAUGGACCUCCCAGUCCUCCCGGUUUUCCCCGCACCGACGGAGGCGCGGGUAGAGGCGACUCGUCGUGUCCUCAUGAGGAAUAUCUUCCCGAGCCUCUCACGUUGCUGCAGAGAGAAGAACUUCGCCGCCGGAACAUGGAUGCAUUACACACUCCUAUCAUUGGAGAAACCCCCGAGGCUCGUGCCUUGGAGGACACGCGCCUGGCAAACUUGGCCGAGCGCACUCGACUGGAGAACCUCCAGCGAGCACUCAAUGAGCGUGCGCGACAAUGGGUUCCCGAAUCCAGUCGAUGUCAGCUCUUCCCGCCCCCACAGGUAUAUCGAACUCCGAUUCAGAAUUUAGCAGCUGCAGCCCGCAUAGCAGAGUCGAUUCAGCCUUCCCAGUCGGAGGCUGGCAGAGGCUUGCUGCAGAUCAGAGCGUUGCUCCGGGCAGCAGGAGACAAGAAUUCUGCUAUUUCUCAGUUGCAGAACAAGAUCCACAGUAGAUCCGUUGCCGCAGACACAGUCCAGUCGGCUCAUAGCCCAAGAUCGCCCCCAAGGCGUGAGGGACGUGGGGACCGGCAUAAUCAGCAUGGUAACCGUGAGCAAUAUGAUCACCGAUUCGAUCGUGAUGAUCGACGUCGAGUGCCCACCCCUCCCCCGAGGAGCGGGUCGUAUGUGCCUCGACAAUAGGAUGAUAGGCACCCUCGUAGUGUUGGGCGAAGGAUUCCCGUCAACUCCAGGGAGCCAGGCUUCGAUGCGGGAUCCAUUCUCGUUCAAGGUUUGGUUGACAAGAACAAAGCUCACCGGGAAGGACACGACAGAGAUGCUCCUACCAGUAGCAGAGCACAUGUUUCGGGACCAGAGUGCUUUAGUAGAGCCAUCAGGGCCGUUGUGAUUCCUCCCAACUUCAGGUUGGCGACUGGAGUCAGCAAGUUCACUGGCGAGUCCAAGCCCGAUACUUGGCUUGAAGACUACCGAGUGGCCGUCCAGAUUGGCGGCGGCAAUGACGAGGUGGCCAUGAAGCACCUGCCUCUCAUGUUGGAGGGCUCGGCCAAAGCGUGGCUGAACCAGUUAGCACCCAGCAGCAUUUACACUUGGGAAGAUCUCGCCCGAGUGUUUGUCACCACAUUCGAAGGAACAUGCAAACGACCGGCAGGGUUGGCGGAACUGCGGUCCUGCGUGCAGAAGCCGAAUGAAACCUUGAGGGAUUACAUCCAGAGAUGGAUCAGUUGCACCGCAUGGUAGAGAAUGUGCCUGACCACCAAGCAGUCUGUGCCUUCAAAGAAGGCGUCAAGUAUAGAGAACUGAAUCUGAAAUUCGGUCGAACCGGAGAUAUGUCUCUGAACCGAAUGAUGGAGAUUGCCACCAAGUACGCUAAUGGAGAAGAUGAGGAUCAACUCCGGAGUGGCAAGCUGAAGUCAGUCGCCCAAGAAACCGGAGGAAAUUCCAAUCGGAAACAGAAGUGGAAAGCCGAGCCAGCUGCUCCUGGGGAAGCCUUGGCUGUGACUCAAGGAAAGUUUAAGGGGAAACCCAAAGGACCUUGGAACCCCAAGAAAGUUAAAGACCAGGAUAGGAAUGAUGUGUUGGAUUUGCCGUGCCUCGUCCACACCAAGAAAGAUGAAGAGGGUAAUUUUAUUUACCCAAAACAUACCACUCGACAGUGUCGACUCUUGAUCCAGCAGUUCCAGGGCAAGCAGCCCAAAGAUAAAGAAAAGGAGUCAGACAAAGUUGAGGACAAGGAAGAUAGCGACGAUGGAUACCCCCAAGUCAAUUCCACCCUGAUGAUUUUUGCUGAUGUUGAGAGCAAAAGUCGACUGAAAGUCAUCAACCGAGAGGUGAAUAUGGUUGCUCCGGCAACACCAAGUUAUUUGAAAUGGUCUCAGACUUCCAUCACAUUCGACCAGUCCGAUCACCCAACGCAUAUUGCCACCCCUGGGAGGCAAGCUCUGGUGGUUGACCCAGUGGUUGAAGGCACUCGACUGACCAAAGUCUUGAUGGAUGGUGGCAGUGGUUUGAACAUAUUGUAUGCUGAGACGUUGAAAGGGAUGGGCAUUCUGAUGUCCAGACUCAGUGCCAGCAACAUGAGUUUCCAUGGAGUCAUUCCUGGGAAGAAGGCUGAAUCACUCGGCCAGAUUGCUCUUGAUGUGAUUUUCGGUGAUUCCAAGAAUUACCGCAAAGAAAAGUUGACAUUUGAAGUUGUAGUAUUCCAGAGUGCCUACCAUGCUAUUUUGGGCAGGCCGGCUUAUGCACGCUUCAUGGCCCGACCAUGUUAUGUGUAUCUCAAAUUGAAGAUGCCUGGCCCCAAAGGUGUGAUCACUAUUACGAGCAAUCGGAAGAAAGCGGAAGAAUGUUUUCAGAAAGGUUCAAAGAUCGCUGAUGCUCAGAUGGCAGUGGUGGAGUUCCAGGAAUACCAGAAGACUGCAGACCUGAGUGAUUUGUUGUGAGCCAAGAAGCCCACCACAGAAUCAGCUUUUCAGUCGACUGGCGAUACGUAGGGAUGGCAAUGGGUAGGGUAUGGGCGGGUACAACCUCCUUCUACGCAAACCCAUACCCACAGAAAAUUUCUAUACCCACCCAUUUCAAUACCCAUGGGCAUAAAUUGGCACCCAUGCCCAUACCCAUCGGGUAUCCUAUACCCAAUGGGUAUCCAAUGGAUAUAAUAUAUAGCAUUUAAAAUUUUAAAAUAUAUAGAAAUGGUUUUAAAAUUCUAGUGAUCAUGGACGAGUAGUAUAUCACUAACACGGCCUACUAUGGUGGGUGGCUCUUGGAGGAUUCAAGGGAGUAUGAGCGGCGGUUAGUAGAAACCCGGUAUAGUGGGUGGUCGUGCUAGGAAUGGGGAAUCGCUGGAUCAAACGUUGGAUAGGAGUCUGAUAAUGAAGAGUCAAGAUUUCAACUUUUCAACGAGUCACAUAGAAUGCGUGAGGAGUGGCGAGCAGGUGAUUACGGGCCUAUGAGCUAUGGCCAAUUUAAGGAAUCGAGACUUAGGGUGGGCCAUAGGAGCGGAUGAUGACCCCACAUGUCAUAGGAGUUAUUUUCAUUUAUUAAUUGUUUCUGGGUAUCCAUUGGGUAACCCAUGGGCGCAAUGUCAUACCAAUAUCCUACCCAUAUAUUUUGCGGGUAUGGAUACCCAUUACCCAUGGGUACAAAAUCUCUUCAAGUCUUGCCCAUACCCAUUGUUUUCGGGUAGGGUACCCGCGGGUACCCAUACCCAUGGGAAAAACUGCCAUCCCUAGCGAUACGAAGACAGCUCACAUCCACCCGACCGAUCCCGGCGCUGCUCCGACUCAUAUCUCGACAGCACUCGACUCCAAAUAGGAAGAAGCGCUCAUCCAGUUCCUCCGUGAGAACUGGGACAUUUUCGCAUGGAAGCCUUCUGACAUGCCAGGUGUUCCCAGGGAGCUGGCUGAGCAUCGCCUGAGAGUCGACUCAAAAGUAAAACCUAUCAAGGAACAUCUCCGGCGGUCCGCCGUCCAGAAGAGAAAGGCCAUUGGCGAGAAGGUGGCUCGGCUCUUAGCAGCGGAGUUCAUCCGAGAAAUUUACCACUCCGAGUGGCUCCCAACGUUGUUAUGGUCCCCAAGAAGGACAAGUCACUUUGCAUGUGCAUUGACUUUAAACAUAUCAAUCGGGCCUGCCCGAAAGAUCAUUUUCCUCUCCCCCGCAUCGAUCAGAUAGUCGACUUGACUAUGGGAUGUGAGCGAUUGUCUUUUUAGACGCCUAUUCCGGGUACCAUCAGAUCCGUCUGUAUGGACUUGACGAGAUCAAAACAGCUUUCAUCACUCCAUUCGGGUGCUUCUGUUAUGUUACCAUGCCGUUCAGCCUCAAGAAUGCCGGGGCCACAUUCAUGAGGAUGAUUUAGAAGUGUUUGCUCACUAGAAUCAGUCGGAAUGAGGAGGCGUAUAUGGAUGAUAUUAUGGUCAAGUCAUAGAAGGGUUCUGACCUGCUGGCUGACCUUGCUGAAACAUUUGCCAACCUCAGGAGGUAUGAUAUGAAGCUUAAUCCAUCAAAGUACACAUUCGGAGUUCUUGGCGGAAAAUUACUCGGUUUUCUCGUUUCCGAACGGGGAAUCGACGCCAAUCCAGAAAAAGUCGGCACUAUACUCCGAAUGAAAAGUCCUGUGCGAGUGCACGACGUCCAGAAGCUUACUGGUUGCUUGGCCGCUUUAAGUCGAUUCAUAUCUCGUCUCGAUGAAAAGGCAUUGCCCCUUUACUGAUUGAUGAAGAAGUCCGACAAGUUCGAGUGGACUCCUGAAGCUGAUGCAGCGUUUGCAGAGCUCAAAGCUCUGCUCUCCACCCAGCCGGUGCUUGCUGCCCCAAUCAGUAAGGAGCCUUUGCUGCUUUACAUUGCAGCCACGGGACAAGUCGUCAGUACGGUACUUACGGUCGAGCGGGAAGAAGAAGGAAAAGCCUUCAAAGUUCAGCGCCCAGUAUAUUAUAUUUCUGAAGUUUUGACCCCGUCGAAGCAAAGAUAUCUUCAUUAUCAGAAGCUUGUAUACGGGAUUUAUAUGACCACAAAGAAAGUUGCUCAUUACUUCUCUGAUCAUUCCAUUACAGUCGUCAGCGACACUCCAUUGUCAGAGAUCCUGCAUAACAGGGAUGCAACCGGUCGAGUGGAAAAAUGAGCGAUUGAACUCCUUCCUCUAGGUAUCAAGUUUGAGGCAAAGAAAGCUAUUAAGUCCCAGGCAAUCGCAGAUUUCGUCGCCGAGUGGAUUGAACAGCAGCUGCUGACUCAGGUUCACUCGGAGCAUUGGACCAUGUUCUUCGAUGGUUCCAAGAUGCUGAAUGGUUCCGGUGCCGGAGUAGUGUUGGUCUCCCCCAGAGGAGAUAAACUCAGUUAUGUUCUUCAAAUCCACUUUGACUCCUCCAACAACGAGGCAGAAUACGAAGCACUUUUGUAUGGGUUGCGCAUGGCCAUUUCACUCGGCGUCCGUCGCCUCAUGGUCUAUGGCGACUCAGAUUUGGUGGUUAAUCAGGUGAUGAAGGAAUGGGACGUCAGAAGUCCAGCCAUGACUGGUUAUUGCAAUGGAGUGAGAAAGCUGGAGAAGAAAUUUGAGGGGUUAGAGCUUCAUCACAUACCCCGACUGAAAAAUCAAGCAGCUGAUGAUCUGGCAAAAAUAGGUUCCAAAAGAGAAGCCAUCCCCAGCAAUGUGUUUUUGGAACACAUUCAUACCAUCAGUUCAGGAGGAUCCCUUCAGUGAAGAGGCCCCGCAGCCAAAAAGCGCCACGGAUUCGACUGAAGUUGAAAUUCCAGCUGUAGUCUACCUGAUCAUGGAAGUCUUGGUCAUCACUCCUGACUGGACAGUACCGUACAUUGCAUACAUCCUAAGGAAAGAGCUCUCAGAGGACGAAGAAGAGGCUCGACAGAUCAUCAGCUAUAUAAAGGACAGUUAUAUAAAGAAAGCGCGACUGGAGUCAGUCAGAGGUGUAUUACACCAGAAGAAGGUCGGAUGAUCCUUGAUGAUGUCCACUCGGGGACAUGUGGUCACCAUGCGUCCUCUCGGACCAUUGUGGCUAAAGCAUACCGAGCGGGAUUCUACUGGCCAAGAGCCAAUGAAAUGGCAAAAGAGAUAGUCGACAAGUGUGAAGGAUGUCAGUAUUACUCAAAUAUGCCGCACAAGCCCGCGUCAGCCCUGAAAACCAUUCCACUCGUCUGGCCCUUCACUGUUUGGGGGCUGGACAUGGUUGAACCACUGAGAACAGGCAGGAGCGGCUUCACUCAUGUGCUAGUAGCAGUCGACAAGUUCACCAAAUGGACUGAAGCCAAGCCUAUCAAGAAUCUUGACGCUUGCACUGCUAUCAGUUUUGUUAGAGGGUUGAUAUUCAGAUAUGGAGUUCCGCACAGCAUCAUCAGUGACAAUGGGUCAAACUUCGAUUCUGACAAAUUCAGGGCCUUUUGCGCCUCUCAGGGUACCCGAGUGGACUAUGCUUCGGUCGCUCACCCCCAGUCGAAUGGGCAAGCAGAAAGGGCAAACGGCCUAAUUCUCAAAGGGCUGAAACCCUGGUUGAUGCGUGAUCUCAAGCAUGCAGCAGGUGCAUGGGUCGACGAGCUUCCAUCAGUCCUUUGGGGAUUGAGGACAACCCCGAACUGAUCGACCGGAAGAACCCCAUUCUUUCUGGUCCACGGAGCCGAGGCAGUCUUGCCGAGUGACCUGCUUCACAACGCCCCCCGAGUCGAGCUCUACUCUGAAGAUGAAGCAGAACAAGCCCGGUAGGACGCAGUCGACCUCCUGGAAGAAGAAAGAGAAAUGGUCAUGAUCCGAUCGACCGUCUACCAACAAGACUUGCAUCGAUUCCAUGCCAGAAAUGUGAAGGGUCGAGCCUUCCAAGAGGGAGACUUAGUCCUCUGAGUGGAUCAGCAGAAACCACACAAACUCGCCCCUACUUGGGAAGGCCCCUUCAUAGUCACCAGAGUCCUUCGCAAUGGAGCAUACCACCUCUACAAUGUCGAUCGCCAGAUUGAUGAGCCGCGAGCCUGGAAUGCGGAGCUACUCCGCCCCUUUUAUACUUGAAUUCUCACUCGGAUGAGAUGUAAUAAGAAAAAACUAUUGUAGUUUACUUUUCAAAGACAAGAGCGUUAUAAUUUUCCCAGUGAUUGUUAUUGUUUUUUGUUUGCGAAUGAAAUCCCCCAGUGGGUGGCUUAGCUGCAAAUCCGUUUCGCCUAAGUUUGAAAAAAAAUCCUACCGAGUGGAGAGCAGUCCUCCCACUCAGGGGCUUAGCUGCAGUCCAGUACUCGCCUAAGUUCUCUCACUUGAGGACUUAGCUGCAGUCAGGCACUCGCCUAAGUUUGAAAAAAUCCUACCGAGUGGAGAGCAGUCCUCCCACUCGGGGGGCUUAGCUGCAGUCCAGUACUCGCCUAAGUUCUCUCACUUGAGGACUUAGCUGCAGUCAGGCACUCGCCUAAGUUUGAAAAAAAUCCUAUCGAGUGGAGAGAAGUCCUCCCACUCGGGGGCUUAGCUGCAGUCCAGUACUCGCCUAAGUUCUCUCACUUGAGGACUUAGCUGCAGUCAGGCACUCGCCUAAGUUUGAAAAAAUCCUACCGAGUGGAGAGCAGUCCUCCCACUCGGGGGCUUAGCUGCAGUCCAGUACUCGCCUAAGUUUUCUCACUUGAGGACUUAGCUACUGUCAGGCACUCACCUAAGUUUGAAAAAAUCCUACCGAGUGGAGAGCAGCCCUCCCACUCGGGGACUUAGCUGCAGUCCAGCACUCGCCUAAGUUUGAAACACAUCCCGCUCUGCAGUAACAAGGGGCAGGUCGACUGCCGCCUCCUCCUUGGGGAGCUUCGCCACAAAUACAACAUACGAUCCAUCGCUGACCCGCAAAGACAACGAGGUGCAGGUCGACUGCUACCGUCUCCUUCGGAGCUGCGCCGCAAAUACAAAGGUUGUCUCGAAUAAAGAACGAUUUCCACUCGACGGGGAAUGCAUAAAGAUAUUCGACAAUAAACCAAGUUCGGAUAAAUCCUAAAGGUUUUUGGACCACAAAUCAAAGUGCUCGAGCAUUCCACCCGAAAGAGUUUAACGGUUACAAAAACCACUCGGCAUUCCGAGGCGAAUUUAAAGUGAGGCAUAAAAGUUUGUUCACUCCGCAGGAGGAGGGCUGGCAGGCUCGACGAAUUCAUCCAGGUCGACGCCGUCCGAGUGGCUGCAGCAAUGAAAGUCUCCAUAAAAGUUCGGAAGUCAUGUUUCUGGGUGUUGGCGACCUUGAUUGCUGCCAGUUUGUCUUGUCGCACCUCCUUGUAGUGGACACGAACCAAAGACAGAGCCACAUCAGCGCCACACCGAGCAGCAGACUUCUUCCACUCCUGCACUCGGUUAGGGAUUUCAUUUAGUCGAGUCAUCAGGGACUCAAGAUCAUUUUGGAGCACAGCCUCUGGCCAAAGUGCCGAGUCGAUCCGCGACAUGGCGACCUUCAGUCGAGCCAAGUAGUCCACGACACCGUCAAUGCGGGAUUCUAGUCGUACCAGAUUCAUGGCAGUUUCAUCUUUCAUAGGAGAAUUGAUUGGAUCCAAACCAGGUUUGAUCCGCCCAGUAUCCUCCUCGAAGUUCUGGCAAAACUCUGCAUCACGAUCCAAGGAUAAGUCAAUUUACAUAUGCCGACUGGACACAAAAAAAAUCAAUCAGAACAAAAUGUGCACCUUCAAGCUUGAUGAACAACUUCUUGGCAAGACUCCUCAGGUAGCUCUCCAGAUCGUCCCUCCUGCGAGCAAUGCUUUCCAUCUUCUCGCCCAGGAUGAGAUUCUCCUUCUUCCAGCGCGAGCACUCCUUAUUGGCGUCAUUCAGAGCAGACUUCAGCCUAGUAUUCUCUUCUUCCAAAUGGCCGACCGAAGCCAGUUUCUGUGCAGCUAGAGCGGUUUUGUUGUCAGCCUCCUUUCAAGCAACAUACAAAUCCUGGUCCUUCUUCGCCAGAGCUUCUCUCAGUUUUUCUACAAAGAAAUGAUGCCUGAUUCAGAAAGAGCAGAAGGGAACUCAAGCUUAAGAUAGACCAGUCGACAAAUUCGUCUUACCAGUGGCGUCGUCCUUGACCCUUUGUAGCUUUGUCUUGGCCAGCUCCAAGUCAAGGUUCAGUUGGAUCUGCUGUUUCUCCAAGUCGGCAAAGCGAGCUCCAAGAUCACAAGAUUUCUGAAAUCAAAGGGGAGAAGUUAUUUUUACAGCAAAAAAUGUUACUAAGGCUACGGUCGACUGCCUGCAGUCCACCAUAGCCUCGGGGACUACACCCAGCGGGUGCACUUUGCGUGCCCCCACCGGUUCUGAUCCCACUCGACCGACCCGCCAGAGUCGAGUGCAGGGAGUAAAAAAAAGGGGGGGACAGAAAGAGCUCAGACCACAGUCGACUGCCAGCAGUCGACCGCGGUCUCGGGGACUACACCCAGUGGGUGCACUUGGCGUGCCCCCACCGGUUCCGACCCCACUCGACCAGACCGAGUGGAAGAGACAAACUAUCAAUUCGGUUUACACUCGACAAGAUACAAAGACUACAGUCGACUGCCCGCAGUCCACCGCAGUCUCGGGGACUACACCCAGUGGGUGCACUCAGCGUGCCCCCACUAAUUCAAAGUUCAAGCAACGCACCCAGUGGGUGUACUAACGCAAAGAUUUUUAGAAAGGAGUCUUCAGAUAUCAUAUCCUAACAGAACAAGCGGCGACCAACUAACCUGAACGUUGCUUUGGAGAGCCGAGCUGGCGUCGUAGGCAGCCUAACUGGCGUCUCGCACCAUCUUCAUCUUCUCCAUCAUGACACCCGCCUGGCGUAUAGCUUCCCUGGCAGCAUUCACUUCGUCUUCUGGGACAUGAUGGGUCGCAAAAACCGAAGGUGGGUCGACAGGGGCCUGAGCAGUCGACGAAGAAGGAAGGCACUCGACAGUGGCACGACGAAGGUAACAGAACCCCGAUUGGCGUCGCCAGCGUCCUGAACGACUGGUUCUGCCCUCGUUGUCGACCGUAGCGCCUCACUUGUAGGAGCUUGCCUACUCUUCCUCGUCAAAGGCCUCUCGGGCUCUUCAUCAUCAUCAGGGAGGUCAAUAAUGUUGGGAGCUGUGCAGGGUGCAAUUGCCAAAGUCACAUCACCCAAUGAUGCACAUUGCAAUUGGAUCGACCAAACAAAGACAGUACGGCAGAAAUCAUACCCAGAUUAGAAGUGACCGCAUCCUCCAUCACCUCGUCCUCGUCCCUGUAAGCUGAGGUCCCGGAAGUGGCAGCACUGACAAUCCCAAAGUUCGUCCAGUUAAAACAAGAAAAACAAACAUCAUGAAGCGUCGAGUGAAUACGAAAGGGGACACUCACACGGAAGCAACGGGGAUGUCAAUAUUAAUCUUCGGCAACGCCUUCCGAGUCUUCAGCUCUGCAACUUUGGGGUGCUUUGGCGCUUUCUCAGUCGGGGUUGGUGAAGAGACCCGAGGACGCUUCGAAGACUGACCAGCUUGAGCAGUUACCUUUUCACUGGCACUCGGUCUUUCUUGGUCGAGCUUGGAUCGCCUCUCCCGGCGAGGAGGUGACUCGACUUCUUCUCCAUCACUUGAGUCGUCGCUUCCUCCACCCCUUCACCGUUGGAAGUCCACUCGCCACUGUCGCCGCCGCUUGCCUCUCCUUCUAGAGCUUGCUCUUGCUCUCCGUUGGGCAUUGAAUACAUUUCAAUAAUGGCCUGAAAGAAAGCAGGGAGAACAAAGUCAGUCGACGCAGUGUAUGCAAGAGCGAAUUCAAGUUACAAAGCAAAAACUCAGAAUCAGACCUUCUCUGGUGCAUGAGACUGGUCGAAUGGAGGGACUCUCCUGGCUUCCCUGGGGUUGUCCUUGUUCCCGGUAAUGCCCGACAGCCACUUCUCCAGUGUGUCAUCGUCGACCUCCUCCGGGUGGAUCCGAGUGGAGUCUUCAAGACCCGAAUACAUCCACAUUGGAUGGUCUCGGGCUUGAAGAGGCUGGAUGCACCCCUGAAGGAAGACCUCCAAGAGAUCCAUACCGGUGACCCCGUCACGGAUAAGCUGGACCACUCGAUCGACCAGCACCCUUACCUGCGCCUUCUCCUCCGGGAGCACCUUCAAAGGGGAGGGUUUCCUCACUCGGUCCAUGGUAAAGGGAGGGAGGCCAGUCGACUGCCCUGGCGUCGACUGGUCCUUACAGUAAAACCAGGCCGAUUGCCAUCCGCGGACUGAGUUGGGAAGAAUCAUGGCCGAAAAAGAACUUUUCCCUCUCAUCUGGAUACCAAGACCCCCACACAUCUGAAUCACUUGCGUCCUCUCGUCACUCGGGUUAGCCUUUUUCACCGUCUAGGAGCGACAAGUGAAAAUGUGCUUGAAAAGACCCCAGUGAGGCCGGCAACCCAGGAAGUUCUCACACAAAGAAAUGAAAGCGGCGAGAUAAAUGAUUUUGUUGUGAGUAAAGUGGUGGAGUUGUGCCCCAAAGAAGUUCAGAAACCCUCGAAAGAAAGGGUGAGGAGGCAAGGAAAAUCCACGGUCGACGUGGGUGGCAAGAAGAACACGCUCACCCUCCCGAGGUUGCGGCUCAGAUUCCUUCCCCGGAAGCCGCGCCGAGUCAUAGGGGAUCAGCCCCCCUUCGGCCAGGUCGUCGAGGUCUUCUUGGGUGAUCCUCGAGUGGAUCCAGUCGCCCUGGAUCCAGCCCUUCAGCAGGCUGGUUCGCGAGAAAGAUCCGCCCCGGCUGGUCGCCUUCCCCUUCGACCUCGCCGUCGCCUUCUUUGCCCGCUCCAGAGCCGCCGUAUUCUCCUUCCCCAUUGUCGCCGGCGAGACGCGUACGGAGCGGUGGCGCUGGGGCGAGAGCGAGCGCAGCGGAGGGGCAUGAAGAGGAGAAGAGGUAAUGGGAACACACUGUUCGGGAGACUCCAGUCCAACGCCUUAUAUGAGGCCGCUUCCGAGUGGCUGACGGGUAGGCCCAAGCGGCUCUGUCAAAUCCCGUAACAAUCGCGCGCGCGAUACGUGGCGAAAAAGGUGGCGCAGGCAUCGAGGCGGCUCUGCUCUAUCCCAUCCGAUUACUGCGGCCUCCCCCGUCCCGCGCGCUUCCCAAAAUUCGGAUCCCAUGAAAUCCGCGGAUAGUAGAACAACUUGUCAAACCAAAGAUCUCCUCGCACCGUCGCUCAGAGCCUUUCGAGUAAAGAAACUCACUCGACGAAGAAUUAAGAAUGGAUCAAGGCGACUGGAAAGGAAGUCGCUGUCAACACUCGGGUUCAUUGAUCCGAAACAAGGUAUGCUCGGGGCAUGAAAAACGAGUCGGAAAAAUGCUCAAACCCUGUCCCACUCAAACCUCGAUCCAUUCGGGGGCUAAUGAUGAAGCUGUGUACCUAGGGUAGGGUCAUGGACCUGUCCAAACUGACCUACCCAAGGACAUCUCCAGAAGAAAUCAUCUUUCAAUCGACUUGAAGGUGUCUCACUCGACAGAUUUGAAGAUACUCGACCAAGAAGCAAUCACUCGACCGCUAGCAAGCCACUCGACGGUCAGGUGACCUAAAGGCACUCCACAUGCUAACGGUCGGUUAUUAAGUAGCUUUUAUGGUCAUCAUAGCACUUUAUUACUAGCGUUACCAGUAACGCCCUGUCUUAAUGUACAUUGAACCCUUUGUAUCGUGGGCUGGCUAGGGUCUUGGCGCACUCUAUAUAAGCCACCCCCUCCUCCGAAACAAGGGUCCGCACGCCUGUAAUUCACACACACAUAAUCCAGUCGACCGCCUCCGGGCUCCGAGACGUAGGGCUAUUACUUCCUCCGAGAAGGGCCUGAACUUGUAAAUCUUGCGUUCCUACAACUCCUCUAUAGCUAAGAUCUUGCCUGUCCAUACUUACCCCCCUACAUCACUGUCAGACUUAGAACCACGACAGGCACGGCUCUCGAAAGUUUAUACCCUGCAAGGGCGUCCCAACUUAGCCCAUCACAAGCUCUCAUGGUCAACGAAGGAUAUUCCUUCUCCCAGGAAGACCCGAUCAGUCUCGGAAUCCCGGUUACAAGACAUUUCGACAAUGGUAAAACAAGACCAACAAAGCCGCCCGAUGUGCCGACAAAUCCCGGUAGGAGUCGCACGUAUCUCGUUCUCAGGGCACACCGGAUGGGCCAGACGUCAGGUUGGCAUAGACCCUGGUUGCCCAAGGGGCGCCGGACAUCGCCCAGGUUGGACCAACACUCAGAGGAGCACUGGCCCGGGGGGGGGGUAAAUAAAGAUGACCCUCAGGAUCCGGAAACCCAAGGGAAAAAGGCUUAGGUUGUUAGGCAAAUGUAAAACCAUGGUUGGGCCUUGCUGGAGGAAUUUUUUUGAAAGCGAACUAUCAAGGGGUUACCAUAACACCCAACCGCAUAAGGAAUGCAAAAUCAAGAAACAUAACACCGGUAUGACAGAAACUAGGGUGGCAAGAGUGGAACAAAACACCAGGCAUAAGGCCGAGCCUUCCACCCUUUACCAAGUAUAUAGAUGCAUUAAUUAAAUAAGAGAUAUUGUGAUAUCCCAACAUAUCCAUGUUCCAACAUGGAACAAACUUCAGCUUCACCUGCAACUAACAACGCUAUAAGAGGGGCUGAGCAAAGCAGUAACUUAGCCAAACAACGGUUUGCUAGGAAAUGUGGGUUAGAGGCUUGACAUGGCAAUAUGGGAGGCAUGAUAUAACAAGUGGUAGGUAGCGCGACAUAGUGAUAGAACGAACAACUAGCAAGCCAAGAUAGAAGUGAUUUCGAGGGUAUGGUCAUCUUGCCUGAGAUCCCGCAAGGAAGAAGAGCGAGUCCAUGAAGAAGACAAACGGACGUAGUCAAAUGGGUCCUCACAACUCCGGAACGAAACCGAAGCUAACGAGAGAAGCAACUUGGAAAGAAGCAAGCAACAUAGUAAACAACCAUCACAUAAACAUGGCAUGAUGCACAACCAAGUAUGAUGCAUGUUCGGUUUAAUGAGGCAUGGCAUGGCAAAGUGCACAAGCAAAACUACAAGUUAAGUGGAGUUCAAUAUGCAACGAGUUGCAUAUUGACGAAACACCACAUUCAAUUAUUUAGUUCACUCCCGGUUAUGUACCUGAUACGUCUCCAAUGUAUCUAUAUUUUUUGAUUGCUCCAUGCUAUAUUAUCUACUGCUUUGGACUAUAUUGGGCUUUAUUUUCCAAUUUUAUAUUAUUUUUGGGACUAACCUAUUAACCGGAGGCCCAACCCAGAAUUGCUGUUUUUUUGCCUAUAUUCAGUGUUUCGGAGAAACAAAAUAUCAAACGGAGUCCAAACGGAAUAAAACCUUCGGGAACAUGAUUUUUCUCACCGAACGUGAUCCAGGAGACUUGGACCCUACUCCAAGGAGUCAAAGAGGAGGUCACGAGGGUGGGGGCGCCCCCUAGGGCGCGCCCCCUGCCUCGUGGGCCCCUCGGUGCUCUACCGAUGUACUCCUUCCUCCUAUAUAUACAUACGUACCCCCAAACGAUCAGAACAGGAGCCAAAAACCUAAUUCCACUGCCGCAACUUUCUAUAUCCACGAGAUCCCAUCUUGGGGCCUGUUCCGGAGCUCCGCCGGAGAGGGUCGUCAUCAUAGAGGGCUUCUACAUCAUCCUAGCCCCUCCGAUGAAGUGUGAGUAGUUUACCUCAGACCUUCGGGUCCAUAGUUAGUAGCUAGAUGGCUUCUUCUCUCUCUUUGAAUCUCAAUACAAAGUUCUCCCCCUCUCUUGUGGAGAUCUAUUCGAUGUAAUCUUCUUUUUGCAGUGUGUUUGUUGAGACUGAUGAAUUGUGGGUUUAUGAUCAAGUCUAUCUAUGAAUAAUAUUUGAAUCUUCUCUGAAUUCUUUUAUGUAUGAUUGGUUAUCCUUGCAAGUCUCUUCGAAUUAUUCAUUUGGUUUGACCAACUAGAUUGGUAGUUCUUGCCAUAGGAGAAGUGCUUAGCUUUGGGUUCGAUCUUGUGGUGUCCUUUCCCAGCGACAGAAGGGGCAGCAAGGCACGUAUUGCAUCGUUGCCAUCGAGGAUAACAAGAUGGGAUUUAUUUCAUAUUGCAUGAAUUUAUCUCUCUACAUCAUGUCAUCUUGCUUAAAGCCUUACUAUGUUUUUAACUUAAUACUCUAGAUGCAUGGUGGAUAGCGGUCGAUGAGUGGAGUAAUAGUAGUAGAUGCAGAAUCGUUUCGGUCUACUUGUCAUGGACGUGAUGCCUAUAUACAUGAUCAUGCCUAGAUAUUCUCAUAACUAUGCUCAAUUCUAUCAAUUGCUCAACAGUAAUUUGUUCACCCACCGUAGAAUACUUAUGCUCUUGAGAGAAGCCACUAGUGAAACCUAUGGCCCCCGGGUCUAUUCUCAUCAUAUCAAUCUCCAUCACUUUAAUCUUGUUUUUAUUUUUUUACUUUGCCUUUACUUUUUACUUUGCAUCUUUAUACCAAAAAUACCAAAAAUAUUAUAUCUAUCAGAUCUCACUCUCGUAAGUGGCCGUGAAGGGAUUGACAACCCCUAAUCGCGUUGGUUGCGAGUAGCUAUCGUUUUGUGUAGGUAUGAGGGACUUGAGCGUGGCCUCCUACUGGAUUGAUACCUUGGUUCUCAAAAACUGAGGGAAAUACUUACGCUACUCUGCUGCAUCAUCCCUUCCUCUUCGGGGAAAACCAACGCAAGCUCAAGACAUAGCAAGAAGGAUUUCUGGCGCCGUUGCCGGGGAGUCUACGCAAAAAUUCAACAUACCAAGUACCCAUCACAAUCCCUAUCUCUCGCAUUACAUUAUUUGCCAUUUGCCUCUCGUUUUCCACUCCCCCACUUCACCCUUGCCGUUUUAUUCGCACUCUCUCUCUCUAUCCUCCCUCUUUAUUUGCCUCUUUUGCCCGCUUGCCUCUUGUUUGCUCGUGUGUUAGAUUGCUUGUUUGUCGCGAUGGCUCAAGAUAAUACUAAAUUGUGUGACUUCACCAAUACCAAUAAUAAUGAUUUCCUUAGCACUCCGAUUGCCCCUCUUACCGAUGCUGAAUCUUGUGAAAUUAAUACUGCUUUGUUGAAUCUUGUUAUGGAACAUCAACUCGCCGGCCUUCCUAGUGAAGACGCCGCUACUCAUCUGAAUAGCUUCGUUGAUUUAUGUGAUAUGCAAAAGAAAAAAUAUGUCGAUAAUGAUGUCAUUAAAUUGAAGCUAUUUCCUUUUUCGCUUAGAGAUCAUGCUAAAGCUUGGUUUUCGUCUUUGCCUAAAAAUAGUAUUGAUUCUUGGAACAAGUGCAAAGAUGCUUUUAUCUUUAAGUAUUUCCCUCCCGCUAAGAUCAUCUCUCUUAGAAACGAUAUUAUGAACUUUAAGCAACUUGAUCAUGAACAUGUUGCACAAGCUUGGGAGAGAAUGAAAUUAAUGAUACGUAAUUGCCCUACUCAUGGUUUGAAUUUGUGGAUGAUUAUACAAAAAUUUUAUGCCGGAUUGAAUUUUGCUUCUAGAAAUCUUUUAGAUUCGGCCGCGGGAGGCACUUUUAUGGAAAUCACUUUAGGAGAUGCUACUAAACUCCUAGAUAAUAUUAUGGUUAAUUAUUCUCAAUGGCAUACUGAAAGAUCUUCUAAUAAAAAAGUGCAUGCGAUAGAAGAAAUCAAUGUUUUGAGUGGAAAGAUGGAUGAACUUAUGAAAUUAUUUGCUACUAAGAGUGUUUCUUCUGAUCCUAAUGAUAUGCCUUUGUCUACUUUGAUUGAGAAUAACAAUGAAUCUAUGGAUGUGAAUUUUGUUGGUAGGAAUAAUUUUGGUAACAACGCUUAUAGAGGGAAUUUUAAUCCUAGGCCAUAUCCUAGUAAUCCUUCUAAUAAUUAUGGGAAUUCCUACAGCAACUCUUAUGGAAAUUAUAAUAAUAAGCCCUCUGAAUUUGAGAAUAGUGUUAAAGAGUUUAUGAAUUCACAAAAGAAUUUUAAUGCUUUGCUUGAAGAGAAAUUGCUUAAAGUUGAUGAUUUGGCUAGAAACAUUGAUAGAAUUUCUCUUGAGAUUGAUUCUUUAAAGAUUAGAUCUAUUCCUCCUAAGCAUGAUAUCAAUGAGUCUCUCAAAUCCAUGAGAAUUUCCACUGAUGAGUGCAAGGAAAGAACCGCUAGGAUGCGUGCUUCCAAAGAUGCCUUUAUUAAAGCGUGUUCUUCCAAUUCCUAUGAAAAUCAAGAUGAAGAUCUAAAAGUUAUUGAUGUGUCCCCUAUUAAAUCUUUAUUUUGCAAUAUAAAUCUUGAUGAAACUGAAUAUGAUCUUCCUUUACCUAGAAGGCGUUCUAAAAAUUCGGAGUAUUUAGAUCUUAAUGAUGAAAUUGAUGAAAGCGGGAUUGAAAGAAAUAAAAAUCUAGAUGUUGCUAAACCAACUAUAUUGGAUUUCAAGGAAUUUAAUUAUGAAAGUUGCUCUUUAAUUGAUUGUAUUUCCUUGUUGCAAUCCGUGCUAAAUUCUCCACAUGCUUAUAGUCAAAAUAAAGCCUUCACCGAACAUAUUGUUGAUGCCUUGAUGCAACCUUAUGAAGAAAAACUUGAGUUGAAAGUUUCUAUCCCUAGAAAACUCUAUGAUGGGAACCAACUAUUAAAAUUAAAAUUAAAGAUCAUGUGUUUUAUGCUUUGUGUGAUUUGGUUGCUAGUGUCUCUACUAUUCCCAAGACUUUGUGUGAUUUACUAGAUUUUCGUAAUUUUGAUGAUUGCUCUCUAAACUUGCAUCUUGCGGAUUCUACUAUUAAGAAACCUAUGGAAAGGAUUAAUGAUGUUAUUAUUGUUGCAAAUAGGAAUUAUGUGCCCGUAGAUUUCAUUGUUCUUGAUAUAGAUUGCAAUCCUUCUUGCCCUAUUAUUCUUGGUAGACCUUUCCUUAGAACGGUUGGUGCGAUUAUUGAUAUGAAGGAAGGGAAUAUUAGAUUUUAAUUUACAUUAAAAAAGGGCAUGGAACACUUUCCAAGAAAUAAAAUAAAAUUACCAUAUGAAACUAUCAUGAGAGCCACUUAUUGAUUGCCUACCAAAGAUGGCAAUACCUAGAUCUAUCCUCGCUUUUAUGCCUAGCUAGGGGCGUUAAACGAUAGUGCUUGUUGGGAGGCAACCCAAUUUUAUUUUUAUUCCUUGCUUUUUGCUCCUGGUUAGUAAUAAAUAAAUUAUUUAGACUCUGUUUUGGUUGUGUUUUUUGUGUUUAAUUAGUGUUUGUGCCAAGUAGAACCGUUGGGAAGACUAGGGGAAAGUCUUGUUGAACUUUCUGUAAAAAAACAGAAACUUUAGCGCUCACGAGAACUGCUGUCAUUUUUAUUUGAAGAGUGAUAUUUAGUUAAUUCUUUUUGAAUAUGAUUAAUAGAUAAAUUCCUCACGUCCAGCAAUUUAUUUUAGAAUUUUUGGGGUUCCAUAUCUUGCGCUAGCAACAGAUUACUACAGACUGUUCUGUUUUUGACAGAUUCUGUUUUUCGUGUGUUGUUUUCUUAUUUUGAUGAAUCUAUGGCUAGUAAAAUAGUUUAUAAUCCAUAUAGAAGUUUGAAUAUAGUAGGUUUAACACCAAUAUAAAUAAAGAAUGAGUUCAUUACAGUACCUUGAAGUGGUCUUUUGUUUUCUUUCGCUAACGGAGCUCACGAGUUUUCUAUUUUGAGUUUUGUGUUGUGAAGUUUUCAAGUUUUGGGUGAAUUCUUGUGAUGGAUUAUGGAACAAGGAGUGGCAAGAGACUAAGCUUGGGGAUGCCCAUGGCACCCCCAAGAUAAUCCAAGGACACCAAAAAGUCAAAGCUUGGGGAUGCCCCGAGAGGCAUCCCCUCUUUCGUCCACUUCCAUCGGUAAUUUACUUGGAGCUAUAUUUUUAUUCACCAACAUGAUAUGUGUUUUGCUUGGAGCGUCUUGUAUUAUUUGUGUCUUUGUCUCUUAGUAUGCCACAAUCAUCCUUGCUGUACACACCUUUUGAGAGAGCCAUACAUGAAUUAAAAUUUGAUAGAAUACUCUAUGUGCUUCACGUAUAUCUUUUGAGCUAUGAAGUUUUGCUCUAUGUGCUUCACUUAUAUCUUUUGAGCUAUGUAGUUUUGCUCUAUGUGCUUCACUUAUAUCUUUUGAGCAUUAUAAUUUUGCUCUAUGUGCUUCACUUAGAUCUUUUAGAGCACGGUGGUGGAUUUGUUUUAAAGAAACUAUUGAUCUCUCAUGCUUCACUUAAAUUAUUUUGAGAGUCUCUUAAUAACAUGGUAAUUUGCUUAAUAAUAAUAUGCUUGGUAUUCAAGAUUUGUGAAACUUUCUUUUGAGUGUGUUGAAUACUAAGAAAAGAUUGAAGCAUGAUAAUUGUUUUGAGGUAUGGAGGUUAUAAUAUUAAAGUCAUGCUAGUUGAGUAGUUGUGAAUUUAAAGAAUACUUGUGUUAAAGUUUGUGAUUCCCGUAGCAUGCACGUACGGUGAACCGUUAUGUGAUGAAGUCGGAGCAUGAUUUAUUUAUUGAUUGUCUUCCUUAUGAGUGGCGGUCGGGGACGAGCGAUGGUCUUUUCCUACCAAUCUAUCCCCCUAGGAGCAUGCGCGUAAUACUUUGCUUUGAUAACUUCUAGAUUUUUGCAAUAAGUAUAUGAGUUCUUUAUGACUAAUGUUGAGUCCAUGGAUUAUACGCACUCUCACCCUUCCACCUUUGCUAGCCUCUCUAAUACCGUGCACUUUUCGCCGGUAUCAUACACCUACCAUAGACCUUCCUCAAAACAGCCACCAUACCUACCUAUUAUGGCAUUUCCAUAGCCAUUCCGAGAUAUAUUGCCAUGCAACUUUCCACCGUUCCGUUUAUUAUGACACACUCCAUCAUUGUCAUAUUGCAUAUCCCGGUACACCGUCGGAGGCAUUCAUAUAGAGUCAUAUUUUGUCCUAAGUAUUGAGUUGUGAUUGUUGAGUUGUAAGAAAAAUAAAAGUGUGAUGAUCAUCAUUAUUAGAGCAUUGUCCCAGUGAGGAAAGAAUGAUGGAGACUAUGAUUCCCCCAUAAGUCGGGAUGAGACUCCGGAAGAAAAAUAAAAUAAAUAAAAAAAGAGGCCAAAGAAGCCCAAAUAAAAAGAGGCCAUAAAAAAGAGAGGAGAAAAGGCCCAAAUAAAAAUAAAAAAAUGAGAGAAAAAGAGAGAAGGGACAAUGUUACUAUCCUUUUACCACACUUGUGCUUCAAAGUAGCAACAUGAUCUUCAUAGUAGAGAGUCUCUCAUGUUAUCACUUUCAUAUACUAGUGGGAAUUUUACAUUAUAGAACUUGGCUUGUAUAUUCCAAUGAUGGGCUUCCUCAAAUUGCCCUAGGUCUUCAUGAGCAAGCAAGUUGGAUGCACACCCACUUAGUUUCUUUUUGAGCUUUCAUAUACUUAUAGCUCUAGUGCAUCCGUUGCAUGGCAAUCCCUACUCACUCACAUUGAUAUCUAUUGAUGGGCAUCUCCAUAGCCCGUUGAUACGCCUAGUUGAUGUGAGACUAUAUUCUCCUUUUUAUCUUCUCCACAACCACCAUUCUCUUCCACCUAUAGUGCUAUAUCCAUGGCUCACGCUCAUGUAUUGCGUGAAGAUUGAAAAAGUUUUGAAAAAGUUAGAGUAUGAAACAAUUGCUUGGCUUGUCAUCGGGGUUGUGCAUGAUUUAAAUACUUUGUGUGGUGAAGAUAGAGCAUAUCCAGACUAUAUGAUUUUGUAGGGAUAACUUUCUUUGGCCAUGUUAUUUUGAGAAGACAUAAUUGCUUUGUUAGUAUGCUUGAAGUAUUAUUAUUUUUAUGUCAAUAUAAACUUUUGUCUUGAAUUUUUCGAAUCUGAAUAUUCAUACCACAAUUAAGAAGAUUUGCAUUGAAAUUAUGCCAAGUAGCACUCCGCAUCAAAAAUUCUCUUUUUAUCAUUUACCUACUCGAGGACGAGCAGGAAUUAAGCUUGGGGAUGCCUGAUACGUCUCCAACGUAUCUAUAAUUUUUGAUUGCUCCAUGCUAUAUUAUCUACUGUUUCGGACUAUAUUGGGCUUUAUUUCCCAAUUUUAUAUUAUUUUUUGGACUAACCUAUUAACCGGAGGCCCAGCCCAGAAUUGCUGUUUUUUUGCCUAUUUCAGUGUUUCGGAGAAACAGAAUAUCAAACGGAGUCCAAACAGAAUAAAAUCUUCGGGAACGUGAUUUUCUCACCGAACGUGAUCCAGGAGACUUGGACCCUACUCCAAGGACUCAAAGAGGAGGUCACGAGGGUGGGGGGCGCCCCCCCAGGGCGCGCCCCCUGCCUCGUGGGCCCCUCGGUGCUCCACCGACGUACUCCUUCCUCCUAUAUAUACAUACGUACCCCCAAACGAUCAGAAUAGGAGCUAAAAACCUAAUUCCACCGCCGCAACUUUCUGUAUCCACGAGAUCCCAUCUUGGGGCCUGUUCCGGAGCUCCGCCGGAGAGGGCCGUCAUCACGGAGGGCUUCUACAUCAUCCUAGCCCCUCCUAUGAAGUUUGAGUAGUUUACCUCAGACCUUCGGGUCCAUAGUUAGUAGCUAGAUGGCUUCUUCUCUCUCUUUGAAUCUCAAUACAAAGUUCUCCCCCUCUCUUGUGGAGAUCUAUUCGAUGUAAUAUUCUUUUUGCGGUGUGUUUGUUGGGACCGAUGAAUUGUGGGUUUAUGAUCAAGUCUAUCUAUGAAUAAUAUUUGAAUCUUCUCUGAAUUCUUUUAUGUAUGAUUGGUUAUUUUUGCAAGUCUCUUCGAAUUAUCUGUUUGGUUUGGCCAACUAGAUUGGUAGUUCUUGCCAUGGGAGAAGUGCUUAGCUUUGGGUUCGAUCUUGCGGUGUCCUUUCCCAGUGACAGAAGGGGCAGCAAGGCACGUAUUGCAUCGUUGCCAUCGAGGAUAACAAGAUGGGGUUUAUUUCAUAUUGUAUGAAUUUAUCUCUCUACAUCAUGUCAUCUUGCUUAAAGCGUUACUCUGUUUUUAACUUAAUACUCUAGAUGCAUGGUGGAUAGCGGUCGAUGAGUGGAGUAAUAGUAGUAGAUGCAGAAUCGUUUUGGUCUACUUGUCACGGACGUGAUGCCUAUAUACAUGAUCAUGCCUAGAUAUUCUCAUAACUAUGCUCAAUUCUGUCAAUUGCUCAACAGUAAUUUGUUCACCCACCGUAGAAUACUUAUGCUCUUGAGAGAAGCCACUAGUGAAACCUAUGGCCCCCAGGUCUAUUCUCAUCAUAUCAAUCUCCAUCACUUUAAUCUUGUUUUGCCUUUUACUUUGUCUUUACUUUUUACUUUGCAUCUUUAUACCAAAAAUACCAAAAAUAUUAUAUCUAUCAGAUCUCACUCUCGUAAGUGGCCGUGAAGGGAUUGACAACCCCUAAUCGCGUUGGUUGCGAGUAGCUAUCGUUUUGUGCAGGUACGAGGGACUUGAGCGUGGCCUCCUACUGGAUUGAUACCUUGGUUCUCAAAAAUUGAGGGAAAUACUUACGCUACUCUGCUGCAUCGUCCCUUCCUCUUCGGGGAAAACCAAUGCAAGCUCAAGACGUAGCAGUACCCAACAAUAUUAAAUGUUCAUAACAUGGAAAGAGGUGAAACAUGAGUAAAAAAUACACAGUUGGUAUUUUAAAUGAGGCCGGAAACAUCAAACAACAAUCAGUAAAUCCUCAUGUGCAUUAGUAAUUUAAUGCAACAACAAUUUUAAACAUUUUAAAUGUUGUUAUCAUGAUGCGGAUGACAUGUGCAAGUUUUUAAACAUUUUUUUAUGAAAAUGUUGAUAAGUGCAUGUUAUGAAGCAUUUGUCAUCAUGACGGAAAUGAAAGGGGUGCCACGACAACGACAACGGAAAUGAUGCCAUGACAACAUUCCGAUGUGCGAAACAUGCAAGAGUGACGGGGAGAGGGAGUGAGGCGCAGGUGGGACUCACGCGAGGCAGCCAUGGGCAUCGAGCGCUGGAGAACGGGCGCAGGGCACUGCGGCCCUGUGCACGAGCGAGGAGAGGGAGAGAUAUGGGGAUCGGGCGCGAGCGCGUGCGCUCUGUCCCUGGCGGCGUGAGAUGGACCGGGGGAAGGGAGCGAGGGGUGAGGGAGCUGAACGACUAGGGUUAAGUUUAGGUGGGCCGGUGGAACGGGCCGACCCAGUGGAGAGGUAGACUACUAGGCUAGGGAGGCCGGCGGCUGGGCCUUGGGCCACUUUGGCUGCGGGGGAAGGAUGGACCGGCCUGGCUGACUGCUCUCUCUCUCUCUCUCUCUCUCGUCUAAAAUUAUUGCAAUAACAGAAAAAAACAAAGAAAGAAAGGAGAGAGAAGAAAUUGAUGGAUAAAUGAUUUGGACAUUUGGAUUAAAUUUCUGGAUUCACAAAAUUGAGCUCGUUCCAAGAAAAUGCAUUUGGCACCGCUUGGCAGGAUUGCAUUCGAACAUAUUUGAAUGUGAUUCAAAUAAGUUUGAAUUAGGAAAACAUUUUUUUGGAGAGUCCAAAAAUGUUCGGAAUUUUUGUGGAGAUCAGGAAAGCGAUGAAAUAAAUUAUGGGCAAAGUUUGAGGAGCAAACUUGAAGCAGAAAGGACAUGGGGAAUAUUUGCAAGUGUGUUAUGGUUAAUUCCAAAAGAAUAGAAUAUUUAUUAUAGCUCCCUAAUAUUGGGAGGAUAUCCUGUAAAGAGAAUCACCAUGUGAAUUCCCUCGGUUUAAAUGGACCGAAGAUCCAUGCAAUUUAUUUAGUUGAGUUCUACAAAAUUAAAUGACAUGAUGACAUGAUGCAAUGCAAAAGAUGCAAUGAGGAAUGCAACAAACCAACAACUCACACGACGAAACUCGGAAAACAUGGAAGGCGUCUGAAGCGUCGGUCUUGGGGCGUCACAGGGGAUCCGGGUGUAGAUGCUCUAACUGUCAUGUAUGUGAGGCAUACCCAUCUAUGCCAACUCAUUAAUAAAUUUAUGUUUAGAUUGUACAUACUUAGCUUUCAAGUUAUGUUUGUGUGUGUGUGUGACACAAGUGCAUCAUGUUGUGUAAUCGAAGUUAUUGUGAUGGAGCUUGUGCCAUUGAGGAUAUUUCGGUAACAAUGUAUCUCAUUACUGAUAGCAUCCUUGUUAUAAUAACAAUGCUCAAGAUCAGGAAAACAAGAUCAUCAUCAAUACAUGAGCUAGUCUUAGAGGCAUGAGGCAUGACUAGGGAUCACAUUGGUGUUUAUGUUUCCACGCAUGUAUUUCGGUUUUUUCUAUGAAUCUCAUAUACAAGAACUAAUACACUUAUAACACAAAAAUAUAAACUUGAUAAUGAACAUGGAAAUAUAAUAGUACAAAUUAGUGACUCUAGGGCAUAAUUCCAACAAUUACAACUUUCCUUCUUUAUCAAAAUAUAAUAGGAAGUAAUAAGAUGCUUCCUAUUUACAACAUCUGAAUUAAAUAGAUUUAACCAAACAAAGAAGUGUGUAAAUAUUGUAUUCGUCCUCGAGAACACAUGAUAAUUUACUACCAAAUAUAAGGUAUGUAUGGUAUAUAAUUAUGAGUCAUCAAUGAUUGCUUGACAUAUUGGGGAAUGUAAAUAACCCACUCAAUUUUUUCUAGCUAUAAGUACCACCAAACAGAAACAUCUCAAACAACACAAAUACCAAAGAAACCACCAGCUAGCUUGCUUCAAAUCUUAAGUAAUGGCGCUAACAAAAUUUGCUCUCUUCCUUGCCCUCAACCUUGGUCUCAUUGCUAUUGUGCAUGGUAACCCUCCAAUGGUUCCUACACCACCUUUGGUGCCUACCCCACCUAUUGCACCGACACCAUCGAAUGGUGGUUCCUGCCCAAUCAACCCACUAAAGAUAACUGUGUGCAGCAAUGUAUUGUUGCUACUCAAGCUCCGGAUCAACGUGCCGAAGACCGAGCAAUGUUGCCCACUGCUUAGUGGGUUGGCUGAUCUUGAUGCCGCUGUCUGUGUUUGCACUGCCAUCAAGGCCAACCUCCUUGGCCUCAUCGACGUCGACAUUCCCGUCGACCUGACCCUCCUACUCAACCAUUGUAACAAGACAUAUCCCUCUAGUUUCACCUGCUCGCCAUGAGCCAUGAUCAACUAUACCUCUCCAAAACAUUCUCAUAAUUGUCAUGCAUGUGAGGCAUACCCAUCUAUGCCAACUCAUUAAUAAAUUUAUGUUAGAUUAUAUAUGUAGAUUUCAAGUUAUGUUUGUGUGUGUGACAUAAGUGUAUCAUGCAUGUUGUGUAAUCAAAUUUAUUGAGAUGGAGCUUGUCUCAUUGAAGAUAUUUCCUACAACAUAUGAGAUCAUUAUAAAUAAUUCAAAACGACAUCGCAGCUGAUCGUUUGAACCAUCUAUCUAUAUACGACAUAUUUAUGAAUUUUUACAACCGGUUCUAUAGUCUAU